RNAcentral lists this long non-coding RNA (56691 nucleotides) under Coffea arabica (coffee). RNAcentral's name for it is "long non-coding RNA (CARA_LNC000845)". The record is from RNAcentral. Lineage: Eukaryota; Viridiplantae; Streptophyta; Magnoliopsida; Gentianales; Rubiaceae.
GGUAUCAAAUGUUAUAAAAAAAAAAAGUUACUAGUUUGACAUUUGAUCAACAUAGAGGUUGAGGAUAAUAUUGAUAGUUUUUCAUAUUGUGUGAUAAAAUAUAAGAGAAAUGAAUAAAGAGAGAAAAUGAUUAUAAAACCAUCGUUUGUGUGAGCAUGGCAGGCAAACAAGAGAGUUUCAAUAGAAUGUUAAGGUUAGUAUAUUGUUUUUUUUAAGUGGAUAAGAGAGAUAAGCGUAAUUUUAAAAUUUUAGAGAUAUUAAAUGAGAUCGGCAAAACCCUCGAGGGAGGUUUUUGAAAUUAUCCCAUGUUAAAUAUCAAUUCUAUUUCCACCUUCCCUUCGUAGCCCCCACGCCACACCGUCCAAGCAACCGCCAUAAUCCGCUUCAUUCACCCUUCCUUGUCCUUACAGGUGCCGUGGCCCAUACUGUUCUGCCCUUCUACUGGUACCUCCUUGUCCUCUCUUCAGUUCAGUCUCCAAUCUCCUUUUGCCAACACGUACUAGUUUUUUUUUUUUUUAAAAUUUUAAAAUAUGAAACCUCGAAUCCUGCUCUGCUCCAUUCUUGAUUCUACAUAUGGCCUCUUGCUCCCCUGUUCUUUCUUCUACUUCUUGCACUUCAUUCCCGACUCUCCUCCCCAACCCGAACUCCCUUGCUACUUCUACUACUUCAACCACUCCUGUCACCCCACUCCAUUCCCUUGGCUUUUCGAUCCUGAUCGCCCGAUUCCGUUUUCUGCUUCCUCAGGUUCAAACAGCAACUCUCAUUGUUGUUCAAUCCCACCAAUUCCAAUUCUUUUAAGACUCCAAAGACGUCAAUGGCAGAGGCCUCAUCAACCGAGAAAAAAUAAACAAGUAUUUGAGUCGGAGGAAGACCUGGCUGUGGACUUGGCUGGGUAUGUCGCCCAUCUAUCUGAUCAAUUCGCCAAAACAAGGGUGCCUUCACCCUUGUUUUAUCCGGGGGUUCUCUUGUCAAGUCUCUCAGGUCAGUGAUAUGCGAUAUCCUCCUUCUUUCUAAUAUCUAUCUCUCCGUUCUAUUGAUUUGGGAUGCUGGGAUGGCAGGAAAUUAGUAGAGCCUCCCUACAUUGAUUUGGUGAUUGGUCCAAAUGGCACGUUUUCUGGGCGGAUGAAAGAGUUGUUCCAAAGGAUCAUCCCGAUAGCAAUUAUUUUCUGGCCUAUAACGGCUUUCUAUCCAAGGUUAAGAAGAAGCAUGACCAUUGGCUUUACAAAUUCUCUUUUUAUCUUGGGAUUUAAAAUACUACCCACGAGUGAUAUGAGCUUAUCCUUCUAAUUCUUGCUUAUCAUUUGAUCGCAUUCUGCUAAUCUGUUGCAUCUUUAAUCCAAUUCGUGGAUGGAUACUUGGUUAUAGCUUGUAAACAUAUGAUCUGGGAUUUUAAGCUUAUUAGUUAAGCUUAGUUCCUUCAACAUUGCGGUCAAGUUUUUCAGUGGAAUGUUAAUUUGACCUAUAUAAUUAUGCCUCGUGCAUGCCGCUUUUUGUACAUUUACACUAGAUGGCAAAAGAAAGAUUUGUAUUCAGGUUUCUCUCUCCCCCCCCCCCUUUCCUCUCUUUCACACUAAAACUUUUGUGUCUACAUACUCUUGGAAGCUUGAAGAUGGUGUAAUAGAAAAUGUGAUGAGUUUGGGCUAAAAUAAGAGCACAAGGAACAGAUGACCUCACUAACAGCUGUGUUCCUCCCUAUGGUGGAUGAGUUAAUGGAAAUCGUCAUCUGAACAAGCGCUUGACAUGGUGUUAAUACAUGAAGCUCAGAUUGUUAUUUGAAAGUAUAGGCUUUUUCUAGCAAUUUCUACAUUCAUAGAUCACCCUGUGCUUGAUGUUGACAGCAUUCUGAUGUACUACUCAAAGAGUAAUUGGUGUGAUGGUUCUGGGAUCCCCUGACAUCUAAUAAAUUAAAGCUCUUCCCAUAAUAAAACUUAGAUUUUCUAAAAAAUCCCUAUGAAAAAUAGAGUUUUGCCCGGGGAUUAAUGUUGGAGAAAUUUAGACUUUGCCCCUUUCAUCUAUAUUGUUGUAACCUUCACUAUCAUGAAACAAAAUUCCUUGGUUUGUCAUCAGUCAUGGGCAAGUUAGUUUUCAAGUUUAAAUCAUAGAUCUCUUCGUAAAGAGCAGAAGUGCUGACUAAAGUGCUAGUGCAAUACUUCUGCAUAAAGAAAACAUAUUUUAUUUAUGAACAACUUGAACGUGAUAGGUUAGCAACAAUUCUCCUUUAUUUGGCAUCAUUUUCCCAUUGUGCUUCGUUUUUUGCCUCACAUUUAUCCCAUAUGUUCUUUCAUUCAGUUACUUCUUGUUCUGCAUUUAUGGCUUUGCCAGAGGCCUUAAAAGUUCCCAUGCAUUGGUGGAAUAGUUGUCAUUUGGUGAAAGCCACUGAAUGUUGUUUCAAACAAUAGAGUUGUUAUUAAUUGAGCUUAAUAAGGAAUGUUGCUCUUGUAUUUGAAGUUACUUGCAAGGCAAGGAAGUAGAUUGUCUAUUAUGUGUGAACUUAAUGAUAGUCCAAAAACAAAGUAUGGCAUGAUUCGUUAACUAUCUUGUUGUAGGAGAUUUAUACAUGUGCUUGUAGUCUAUAUUUGUUUAUUGCAGUUUAUCUUCUUCUCUCCUGCCCUGUUGUUUUGUGUUACCUUCACUUUAUUGUGGCUGUGAUACUUGUUUUUACUUGCAGAUUAGAUGAACCAAAUUUGUUUUGUAGCCAUCCUAUUCCCCUCCAUGAAUGAAUUACCUGAAAGUUUCUGAACUUGUGUAAUUUGUUAUUCCUUUGUCUGCCAGAUUCCAAUUCCUGUUGGCAACGUGUAUGCCAUAAAUGAUGCAUUGUCUGCUGAAGGUGCUGCAGAUGACUAUGAGACCUGUCUCAAGCACUUGGUUAAGAACAGGACGAUAGAAGUAUCAGAGGUCAAUGGUUUUUCCAAAAUUUGAUCUCAUGCUUUUGGGAAUGGGACCAGAUGGGCACGUUGCCUCUCUUUUUCAUGGGCAUCCACUUGUGAAAGAGAACAAGAAGUGGGUUACUUUCAUCAAGGACUCGCCAAAACCUCCUCCGGAGAGGAUAACGUUGACAUUCCCUGUAAUAAAUGCUUCCGCACAUAUUGCACUUGUUGUAGUAGGAGCUGGUAAAGCCGAUGCUGUUCGUUCAACACUGGUAGUGAUCAGGACACCGAUUUGCUUCCGUGCACAUGGUUUCACCUGACGGGAAGUUGAAUUGGUUCUUGGACAAGGGUGCGGCUUCAAAGCUGUAGGGUGCACACUUGCCUAUAACAACAUCAGUUGAUCUUGCUCGGUAAAUAUCCCUUGGUCUUGAUGUCUUACCUUGGGGAUGUGCUUGAUGGCUUUUGUAAGCUUAUCAUUAUUAUGUAAAGUACUGUGUUUCUGUUUACUCAGAUUAGCAGCAGGCAAGAAUUGAAUAUUCCCGAUGCUUGAAUGCCUUAUGGUGAUUUUUUUUCCUUUCAAAUUAUCUGUGGUAAGGAUUCAUGGAAAUUUUGGGUUUCAGUGCUGGGGAAUAAGGUACUUGGCGUCUGUCUUCUUUUUGUGAUGUUGAGUCCAUGUAUUAAGUUAUCUAACAGUUGAAGACAGCCCAGGGUUUAUGUUUAAUCAUAGGGUAACUACUUUUGGUGUCUUGCGUGCUGUUCCCCCUUCCGUUGCACCAGGGCUGGCGAGGCCGCUCAAUUUACGUCCUCGUGUUGUUGCAGAUAGAAAAAAGGUGUGAGCCUUUUUAACCAACUUGUAUUAGGUGAACUGGCCACCAGAUUGGCUGCAGAUCAUGGAUUCAAACUUUUGGCACCAAAAUGGUAAGAAAAAAAAUUAGAAAAGAGAAGGAUAAGUUGAGUUUUGAGUGCCAAUUCUGAAAGUAUCAAAUAAACAGAGGCACCACUCCUACCAUUGCAUAGCGAAUUGGUGCCAACACGGAUUUCCACGUAUCGAAAUCAUGAUGUGUAUGCCAGAAUCUUCUUUGUUUUUCUUGGUAAACAUAUGUUUCACUGAUGAGUUCUCAAACCAAGAAGACUGCACUUAAUCGCAAAGCUAAUCCAGUUCUGUAGUUAAUCUGGCAAGUUCAAGUACAGUCAGACAGCUCGACUAGUGACAAAAGCAAAAACCAGCAACCAAAGACCGUCUUCAUAUUGGGGCUCUCCCCUCUGCCCAAGUUUUGCACAUUAUUGCUUGCUUAUGUGUCGCAGUUCCAGUGAUUCAUCAUCAAUCACAGAGAAAGGUUCCUUCGCGUUGUCCAUACGCAUCAGUGUAUUAUUUGACCUUAAGAGAGUUGUUGUCUCCAUAUAAUUUGAACCGCAAAGAAUUGAUUUUGCUUAAAAACUAGAAGAUUUGGCAAUUAGCAGCCCAGAUUUAAUUAAAAGUCACAUCAAUCGCGGUUAGCAGUGCUCAUGAUGGUUCAAUUGCAGAGCCAUCUUUUUCGCGAGUGAAACUGCACGACGAAUCAUAUACGAAUCCGAGGCCCGACUGGACCGCCGACUACAGAAGAAUUUUGCGCACUAUAUAAGUAUGGUGGUGCCCCGCUCAGAGGGAAAUUGGCAGCAAGUUGCAAUCUUCAUCCGAAUUUUUCAGAAGGCCAAACGACAAAAAAUCUCGAAUCAAACCGGAGGAGGAGGAUGGCUAGCGAAAAAGCGAAGAAGACAUCCUGAAAUUCGACACCGAGGAUGAUGUCGCGGUGGCUCUGGCCAAAUACACCGCCGAUCUCUCCCAAAGAUUUAUCCAAGAGAAAGUGUUCUUUCAACGUCGUCUCUCGAGUACCUAAUCGACACUAUGAGGUACACCAUCUAAUCAACAGUACGAUGUUCUCCUUUUCUUUCUUUUUGUUUUUUAGUUUUAUUUUUUAAAUAAAAAACAUCAUUUAAUAAAAUUCAACAAAGCGUGCAAGGAAAAAGUUAACGCUCCAAAAUCGAUUUGGGUUUAAUGGAGCAGAUUACUAUGAUUCAACCUCACAUGUUGAUCCCAUGAUUAACGUGUUAAUAUCCAUCCAUAUUUCAGGUAUCUAACCCAGGCCCCUCACAAGGAAUCAGUGGAUUGGUCAAAAUGGAACAUAUUUUGUUGGAUGAGAGGUGGUUCCCCUGGAGCACAAGGACAGCAAUUACAAACUUGCCUACGAUGGAUUUCUUUCAAAGGUGACUUCUUUGUUAUUUCUGCUGUCAUUUCUAAUUAAUUUCUUACUCAGGCACAAUGGUGUAUCAUGUUUUCGAGCGUCUAAUUUGCAAAUGGAGUGAGUUCUUAAUUUUCAAUUUAGCUAUAUGCACGGCACAGUCUCAGAUUCUAAUCUAGCUAUCCACAAACAUUGGAAUGAAAACAAAGAACUCUCAGCUAAAAGAUGAACAUUUUCCCAACGGAAGGGGCUUGACUUUAGCCAUGGCUAGCUAGAUUGAUGGAGCAGAUACAUCUGCGGCCUCUGGUGGUAUUGACGCUAGUUGUCUGUUCUUUAUUACUACUUUAUAUGCCAAAAUCUAUACUCUAGAAUCUCGAUUUGAAAUCGACUUUUCACAGCUGAGUGAAUUCCGAAAGUUGAAAAGUUUAUACGGCCGUUAACUUUGUGAAUUCUGUUCGCGAUGCUUAACCAGAAUAAGAUGGCUGAUCUUUUUCUAUAAUCCUUUUAUUGAGCUGGAAAUACCAAAGAGGAACCGGGAACGUACGUCAACUGUUAUAAAAAUGUAUCUGAAAUGAGAAAAUGGCCAAAAUCAUAUAAUUUUGAACCACGCCUUGAAACGAACACUGUAGAAUCUGAUGUAUGUAAUGGACUUCCCACUAAUUUGAAUGAUCGAAUGUGAAGUCUCAAACAGGAAGCCAUGUUGUGCUUGUAUCUGCUGCCUCUUCACAGCUCGGUUGUUGGCCUUGCCAUAUCGGAAGGCAUCAAUCAAGUGCUUUCUUCGUUUCAGGUAUCAAUUCCAGGUGGUCAAAUUUUCCCAUCAAUGACAAAAAAGUCACCUGAGGGUGCAGCUGAAGAUUUACGAGGCCCUUCACCGGAUUUGGUCGAGAGAAAGAUCCUACCUUUGUCAGAUGCUACUGGUUUCCCCAAAUUCGAUCUCAUGCUUCUCGCAUGGGACCAGAUGGGCAUGUGGCUUCUUUAUUCCCUAACCAUCCUCAGCGAAAUGAGAAGGAGCGUUGGGUGACCUUUAUUACAAACUCGCCAAAACCACCUCCACCAAGAAUCACGUACACCUUUCCUGUGAUCAACUCUUCGUCAGAGAUUGCAAUGGUGGUAACUGGCGCCGAGUUAGCCACUGCAGUGAAAGAUGUGCUGGGAAUCCCAACUCGAAUUUGCCUGCCGCUGAAGUUUCCCCCCAGGGACUUCUCACCUGGUUUUUGGACAAGGAUGCUGCUUCAAAACUUUGAAGCACCAGGGAGCGUCCCUUGCUCUUUUCAGCUAAUAAAAUCAGAGUGCUAUGUGACAAAUAAAUAUUGGCUACCUGGAGGUUGGAAGUAGGCCCAAUUACUUGAAGCGUUAUGCUUUGUCUAAGAACGAUGUAUUAAAUCUUGUUACCUGCCCGAAUCCUGCUCUGUUUCCGACACUAUUAGUUAAGAGACUGAUGAAUCAUGAUGACUGUCUUGUUUCCUUUCCCACUUUUAACAUUACAGCAGGAGAUCUGUUUAUUCGCGUACUUUUGUUGGUCCUAGAGAGCUGAAAGGCUAGCAAUCUGAUUGUUUUCUUGAAAGAAGGAUCCCAAGUACUAGAAGCCGGGCUGCAAAGCAAGGAGUUGCGGAUACUAUCGCUCUAACUUCAUCCGGCUGGGAGUUACGUGGGGGAGCAAGUUAAAGGUACCACAUGAGGAAAUCUAAACUUUAAAUUCUUUCCCUUGGACCUGCUGCCCCAUACCAAUCAUCAUAAGAGAAAUAUUCUCAGCUUCUCAAUGCAGUAUAGCUGUAACAAAGAUAUUCCAAGUCUCAAUCUACCGAGGCAUUAUUGAGUAGUACAACUUAGUUCUGUGGGUCUUAUCAUAUUUUUAGCACUCGCCUGAGAGGCAUGGCGGCAAGGACGACCUCUUCAUCAUAGGCUGCAUCGCUUUUUUUUUUUUUUGGUUAAGAUCGCCUAAACUCUGCGGCGAAAUGCUUUGACAAAAAGAAAGGCUUUGUUUCGUUCCUGCAUUAUAUGGGCUUUGAGAUAUCAGAUAUGGUCCAAUUUUUGCAGUAGGCAAAUCUUCAACUUCGCAAACUAGAAUUUUCAUAUUACAAGGCAACCACCCACUUUUUUUUUUUUUUCUCUUUUCUUUUGCAGCAAUUUUUUUCAUGUUGGAAACAGUAAAUUAGUUAAUCUAAAGCACUGUCGAUCAAGCUUAGCACGUUGAGACAAACUUUGGUCUUCCUGCAUUGUGGGUUUGAGAUAUCAGGAAGGAUAUAUAUAUAUAUAUAGGUUUUUGGGCAUGUCUUCUUCCGACUGGAAUUUCUCGUUUAGGUCUCUGUCUAAGAAUCCAGACAGGAGAAGGAAGAAAUUUUUCUACGAUGGUGGCGUUCUCAAGUGCAUCCCCCAUCUAAUUAACGCGCGUCAGCAUCAUGUUAUCCAAGUGAUUUUUAGAACGUGCUCGUUGGUGAAGUGGAAGUCUAGGCCCCGGUACUUUGGAUGAUACAGGGAUUAACUUUUUUUUAUCGUGUGUAUGAUGACAUCACUAGGGGAUUUGUCAGUUUAUGAAAAUAUAAAUAAUCUCCGCAUCCGCAUCAAUUGAUGAUGGUUUGCCAUUGUAAACUUCCAAAACCAAAAUGAAGAGAAAAUAAUAUGUUCUUUUUAUUUCUCUCGCUCCCUCUGUUUGAUAGUGCAACUUAACUACUACUAUUAUAAACUGGAGCAAUCAUUUUUUUUUUUUUGUUUUUCGGUCCAUGCGAGGUGGUUUGAAUUUCUAACCUGCAUGCGAGCAUAGUUGACAAACCAUAGAGAUUAAACUUGGUCCAACCUAAAGUAAAGAGUUGAACCGUUCCGCCUAAUGAACAACUUACCAAAUCGGGCUGGGCCUCUAGUUCUGUUUUGAAUAAGGGUGAUUUGGUCAAACCCAUUUCAGUCAACUAAGAAUUUUUCCGAUUUUUAAGAAUUUGUUAAGAUGUAUGAUGUUAGGAUUUUUUGAAAAGAUAAAAUUAAUUAACAUAUAUAUAUAUAUAUAUAUAUGCAAAGGAGGAUAGGAUAGUAAUUAUUACUAGGUAUAUAUAAUUGACAGGUUGGAUGAGAUUUAAGUGUGUUAAUGGGUGCCUAUUAAACAUAUGUAUAUAUGACAAGAUUUGAACAUUGUGUAAAAGAUUUUUUCCCUUGUUUAGUUUUUAUUUGAUAACUAGUUAUUUUUUAAAAAACUUGUUUUCACUUUUUAUUACAUAAUUAAUCCUUUUAACUUUCAAACUAAAACGUUAUCAUCAUAUUAUAAUAUUUGAGUAGUUAGAAAAUUAUUCUUUAAACAAAAAAAAUAAAACAAUAAAAACUAUACUAUAUCCUUGAAAAUAAGUGAUAUAAUCUUGUUUUAUAUUUGACUAUAUAAUUUAUUCGUGUAAAAGUACAAUAAAAUGAAAUUAAGUCUUCUAUGAAUAUUUAUAUGUCCGUUAUAUAUCUUUUUAAAUACAAUAAUUAGUAUCUAAAUACAUUUCAUUAAAUAUUUUACGUAUUGUAAAAUUAGUAGUAUUUUGUGUACUUAUAGAUAUUACUUUUGCAACGCAUCAAUUCAACGGCCAAUGAUCCACCUAUUAAACGAGGGCUCCAUUGACCCGGUCCGUUGAAAUCCUUGUCGGACCAAGUCCAUUAACGACGCAUCAUGCGGGUCCUCAAAGCAAGUCUUCUCUCUUGGGAGCAACUGCCUAUGAGUCUUUAUACGGCCCCAAGAAGAUGACUUUUAAUUAGCUAGACUAGAGGAAUAGGAAUAGCCAUCCAUCCCUGAUUCCUCUAAUAUUUUCUGCGCAGGUAUUAAUAAUUUGCCAUCUGGGUUGUCUGUCUGAAUAGUUGGUGCGAUUGAAGUUAACUUGUACGAGAACCCAGUCGGUGAAGACCGAAGACUCUCGUGUGUUUGGAUUGCAAUUUUUCAAAGAAAAAAUUUGAAAAAUUGUUAUGUCUUUCGUAAAUAUAUUUUUUAAUUUCACAUGAUGUAUUUACAAUUUUUUUUUAAAAAAAAAUUCAGAAAAAAUGCAAUUCAAACAAGAUUGGUCAGAUCAAACAGGAGUACAAUUUAACGGCAGGAAGAACAAAAUCAAACUUCCUUUGCUGGGCAGCAGCGUUGAUUUCUUUCUUGCCCUAGUCUCAGUUUAGAUGUUAUGAUGACAAUCAAAAAAGAGUCAAAAGAACGCAUCUUUUUCUUUUCUGGCUGUGCGACAGUCAAUUAUGUCACGAAGGAGCUGCCAACAGAUCAAAGCCAUUGGUGUCGCGUGUUGCAUCUGUGCCUUUUGUAUUCGUUCAAGAAAGGGGCAGAACGCCAAAUUAAGUAUAAUGUCUAGUCCACCGAUAAAAACCAUUAAGAAUGGAAGCGGGGGUUCAGAGGGUAAUAAAUUAAUCAUCACUCUCGCGAGUUAAUCCCUCAGAAAAUUGAAGUCAUUAUUUAGAGAUACGCCUGCCUGAAAAGGAUGCGGCAACACCAACAAACACAAUCAUAGCCAUUGCUCGUGAGUGAAGCAGUUUCAGUGGCUUUUAACCAAAAAAAUGCAUCGACCGCAAAGAAAAAGCAGACGCAAGAGUAUGAAUCUGGUGUGAAAAAUUGGACGUACAACUCUUGCUUGUGAAGAACGAAUGGAAUUUGGUCGCGGCUUCAUUUGCUACACCGUAGGGCAGCCUAUUCUCGAUGUUGCUGACACUAAAAGAUUAUUCCUUCUUGUUACUUUUAUCCGGGGGCAAGCUGUUCACUUCAUGUGUUAUUACUAAUAACUGGUUUUACUAAAAGACAACUCGUUAACGUCGUUCUCGCGCGCGCAGAACAAAUACUGGUUAGUAAGACACAAGCUACGUAUUAAUAAGAAUGGAAAUCGUUCUAAGACGGAAUGAACAGAUGGUGGUAGCACCCGAAACCAAAGAAAGAUCUGAAAAACCCCAAUAUGGAAAUUGCUAAGUGGACUUGAAUAAAUCGGUUUCGAAUCUUCUGUCCCCAAAUUAGUCUCUAUCUCCUCUGUUCCUUCUUUGUACAAUUGACACGUGUGUCUCUAACUCUUUUUGAUAAUUCAAAUUCAAACAAACUGAUAAUAACUAAUUGACAAGUUUACUCAAAACCAAAACUUGCAAUCUUCUUCUUCGUGUAAAAAACUAGAGUUGAAGAAAUUCUGAUCGGUAACCAUCGCUUGAUUUAUUCCAAGAAAAAAAUAGUUUUGAGUUAUUGGAACCGCUUGAUUUAUCCAAAGGCAAAAAAGUUUUGAGUUUUAAUUGAUUCUGAGUAAACUUGUCAACUGAUUAUUAUCGAUUUGUUUGAGUUUGGGUUAUCAACAAGUUAAAGACACAUGGUAAUUGUACAAAGAAGAAACAGGAGGAAUAGAGACUAAUUUGAGGACAGAAGAUUCGAAGCCACUUAAAUCAGAUUACUCCUCCUCCUCCUCCAACACCAGCACUAUUUUUUGUACAGAACAAAAAAUAAAGCCCAGUUGCCAUUUCUGAACGAGUUCAGCCAAACUAGAAAACCACCCAGUAAUUGGGCAACCUCCGAUUUAGCACGUAUGCACCAAAAUAGAAACAAGGAAAAUCAUAGGUCUAAAACUUUUAAAUUACUACUUGAUUUUAGUUUAAUAAUAACGUUUUGUGAGAUUAAUUUAUGAAAAUAACUAAAAACAAGUUGAUCGAGAUUUAUUAUUCUCUUAUUUUUAUUUUUAAUUCAAAUUCAACUCGAUGAACAUUAAACUUCAUAUCUACGAACUUGACCUUACCUCUAGUUCAGUAAGAAUGUUCGCGUCACUGUAUUUUGUAUUUUGUUUCACUUUUGAUUUCCCUUUCUGCUCUCUCUUAUUUUUCUUCUUAUUUUUUUGCCCUUUUUGCGCUGCCACUGUUUUCUCAAUACUUUUAUGCCAUGUUGAAAAGAAUCGGUCCUUCCUCUCACUAGGAACGCCCCCACUCACGUAAACAAAGAACACAAGAACCAAUUUAUGGAUACUUUGAGGUUUAUUUGUUUGCGUAUAGUCUUCGUAGGUUGCAAUUUGUUCACUUUUUGUGGUAAUUUGCUUGCAAUAUUCUUUGAUACGCAGUUGGACUCAGUGCAGUUGGAGUUUCAUGCAAUUGAAUCCAAUUGUCGUAUUCUUUAUAUUAUUUGAUAUAUAGUUACCUUAUAUUGUUAUAUCAAUAAAAAAAAGUGAUGUACAUAAAUAAAAUGCGCGAGGUAUAUUCAAUAUUAUACUAUAAUGUAGAUGUACAUAAAAAAAAUCCAAAUACGUAUAACAAUUGCAUCAAAUUACACAAAUCAUAAUUGUACCGAGUCCCCUCCCGUUGAAAGGAUUCAGUGAAACUAGGGCUCCGUACGAUUCAGUUUGGUUAUUAGAUUUUGUAAUAUUUGGUGUAUAGUUAUGUUAUAUUAUUGUACUUGGAAUAUAAUAUUAUAGUAUAUUUAUAUAUCAAAAAUUUGACCACAUAUAAUGACAGGACAAAUCACAUAGAAUACAAUCUCAAAGAGCACUUGCAGAAGAGUUGUCUUCGCAUCCCGCCCUAUAACCAUUCCAGAGGAAACGAUUUCUCACCAACCGGAACAAUUCAGGGUAGAGAUUUUCCUGUUUAAAAUUUUGUAAUAGUCAACAAUUCAACAUUGAAAGCCUUAAAAAAUUAUAAAAAAUGUGAUAGUCACGGGAUUUGAAUAUUAGUGUAUUUUUGUCGUAACGUGAAUAAUUUUAUAAUUUAAUCUAUCAUAAUAUAAGAAGAGAAGGAGGAGCCGGUGAGAGUUAAAAAUCAUUAUCAGAGAACUUUAUUUUCUAUAAUCUAAUCUACUCCAAUUCAAGAGGAAAGGAAGCUAAUAGAGGUUAAAUCACGGAUAAAGCAACUAAAAAUAGUCAUGUAUAAUGACAAAUUGACAGAAAGUAAGGAUUUUUUUCUUUUUUUUUUUUUAAAAAAAAGAUGCGAUGUAAGGAUUAAACAUUUUUUUGCAGUGACCACCAAGCUUAAUUAUUUGUUGGUGACCACUAGCCCAAAGUCUGGACUUCCCCCAACCAAAAAUAUACAGAACUGAGCCUAGAGAGUAGAGUAGACUACCUUAGAGAGUCUAUAGAGAGAGAAACAAGAAGAACGAAAGAAGGGAAGAAAGAAGAGACAAGGAAAGGGACUGAUGAGGAAAAAAGUAAAGUGAAAAAGAAAAAGAAAAACAUUGGGGGAAGAAAAGCAGUUGGUGAUCUUUAGGUUGGUUAUGGUGGAAAAUCCACUAGGCUUGAUGCAGGGUAACUGCUGCUGCUGAGGGGCAAAACUGUCAUUCCGGAGUCUUCCAUCCCUCCUUUACUCUUUACAUCCAUCAUCCAUGCUCUUGCUCUUCUUCUUCACUACUUCUACAGCCUCAGCUGGUGGACCUUCCCCUGUUGAACUAAUCAGUAACACUAUCAACAAGCUAACUGGAAUCUUCCUUAUCGGCGGCGGCGGCAGCGGUGGAGGCGGAGGAGACGAAGGGCACGACAGUGGAUUCUGGAAGUACGCAACAUCUUCUAAUGCCGGAGUAGCUUUCACUGUCACGGCCUUGGCCGGUCUCGCCUUGGCCGCCGCCGUUCUCUGCAACACUAGGUAAACUGGAAGCACGAAAACCAAAGUUUUCAAAAAAAAAAAAGACUGAAAAUUACUGCUACAGAAUGAAAUUUGACAUACCUUAGGAAUCAAAGUCCAUUGGUAGAGUAAGUUAUCUUUCUCCGAAGAAGGGAUUUUUUUUUGGGGUUUUAAAGUGUUGUAAGUUAGUAGAUGAAAGCUCUCAGACGAAGUCAGACUUCGUCAUCUUCCAAUUCCAAUUCACCGUCUUCGUCAUCGUCGUCGUCGUCGUCGUCGUGGAUUUAUUUGAGAUCGGUUCUAUUCGUAGUAGCGUCCUCUUCGCCAGCUUCUUGUUCUUCUUCCGAUCGGUGAGUCUCUAUCAAUAUCUACUCCGUUUCUAGAUCUUCUUUUCCAUGUACCUCGCUAUGAAUUUUUCUUCUCCAAUUCUACAGCUAGAAAUGCUAGUGUUCUGUAAAUUUAGAUCUCAGAUUUCUGAGUAGUGAGUAGUCGUCAGUCAGUGUCGAGCUUGCCAUAGUCUCACUUCCUCAAUCAGUGAAGUAUUUUUUUCAUUUUGUCUUUUCCCAUUUUGCAUCAAAAGUGGCUGAGAGUUUAAUGGUGUCAACGUUGGUUAAUGGAUUUCAUUCUGUUUCACGUACUACAUGUUGCAUCCACAUAACUGAUUGUUCCUUUCUAUAUUUGAUUGAUAGCAUUUCCUUUUGUUUGGAGAAUAAGACUGUUAUUUUUAUUAUUAUUUUUUUUUAAAAAAAAGUUGGGUACUUGAUGUUGGACCAGUAUGCAUUGCAAUAGUGUGUCAAGCAAAAUUAAAGUGUGACUGGUGCUCUGUCUUGGCUGUGCAAUUGCCAUUGUUUAGGGUGCUUUAGUUAGAAACUCUCUCUUCUUUUCCGGUUGCUGAUAUUCCAUACAAAUUUCGUGUGUUUUCAUAUGUGGAAAUGUUUUUGUAGAAGAGAACUUUUCUGGAGUCUAAAUGAGCAUAGCCCUUAAGAUAUCAAAUAGUAUUGUGACAGAUCUUUCUUAAGGAAGAGCCUAACUUCAACUCAUUUUGCAUGAUGUCCUUCUAAGGAAGUUUUAUCCAUAGCAAGGCUGGUUAACCAAGUGAUGCUUAUGACCUGUUCUGUUUCCUGUACUUCACAUCUCAAUUUGCUAUUUAAAUACUAAAACAAAUCAAGUUCUGGUGAAAUCCUUGUAGCUGAAGAUUUUAGCUGUCUGUUGUUGCUGGAGAACAAUAAUCUGGUUUAAAUUCUAACUUAAUUUGUACAAAUGCCCUCACUUGCAUUUCUUUCCUGCCCUCAGAUAUUGGAAAUUAGGGAAGUUCGACCAUGAAUGUGCCUGGUUUAUAUAUUUGUUGUUGCCUGGAAAAUCUUUCCUCCUUGAUCCUUUCAGCUACAUGUUGUUCUGUGUUAAUGUGGCCAUUUAGUGGUAUUUCUAAUUAAUUUGUUAUUUAUUUUCAGGGGCCGUCUAAAAUCUCCAUGGUCCCGAAGAAAGAGAAAACAUGCUUUGUCACCUCAACAAUGGAGAAGUAUGUUUACACCAGACGGAAAACUUCGUGAUCGUGGAGCCAAAUUUCUCAAGAAAGUUAGAAGUGGGGUGAGUUUCAUGCAUUGUUUUGUAUAUACUAAUUAAUAAGUAUUUCUGUUAUUAUAGAGCUGAACUUCAAAACUUUCAUUUUCUGUUCAUAGGGCGUUGAUCCAAGAAUCAGGGUGGAGGUCUGGCCAUUCCUUCUUGGAGUGUAAGCCUUUUCACAUUUUCCUGAAUUUAUUUAUUUUUUUGUUACUGGCACACACGUUCUUUACUAUUUCCUCAGUCCAUAGAACAACUUUUCCUGAAGGCUAGAAUUGUUUGCUUUCUCUCUCCCGUCCGCGCCCCCCCCCUCCCCAAAAAAAAAAAAAACUGGAAGGGGGAACUCAGGGAGAGGCUACUGGAGGGGAGUAAGUUUACAGGAUUUCAUAGCUAAAUGGUGUACAUGGUACUUAAUUUAGACGUUUUUGCUUUGUUGGUUUAAUAAUUGGAGUAUCUUGUUGCCAAUUCACAUUAUGAACACUUGUGCUGAUACUUUUUCUGUUACAGGACUUGGGAAAUAAAUUGCAGAUAGCAACUAUCUGUAUCUGUUUGAGUUACUAUUUUUUUUUUAAAUAAGAAUAUUUAGCAUAGCAACUACCUGAUGACUUCCACUCUUAUUUGCAGUUAUGACUUGGGCAGUACACAAGAGGAAAGGAAUAUUAUAAGAACUGAGAAAAGGUAUUGCGCAUGGUUCCCCCCCCCCCCCCCCCGCUCUCAAAAGCCAAAAAAAAAUCUUCUCUUCUCUAUCUCUCAAUGCAAGGUUCCUUCCUUGUCUCCUCUCUCUCUCUCUCUCACACACACACAUGCAGAUGCACACAGUGAGUUUGUGUGUUUUGUUUCAACUUCUUCUAAAUUUUCUAGUUUCGGUUGAACAACAUGGGUGAAUGCAGAAAGGAAUAUGAGAAGCUUCGAAAGCAGUGCCGCCGAGUUUUGAAACAUAAUGAUGAAAUCUUUAAGUUGAGCGAAGCUGGUGGCACAAGCAGCUUCCUCCUCGUAGGCUGUGAUUCUCCAAAUUCUGAAGAUGCUGUCAGUGCUAGGGAAUCCCUUUCCAGUGAGGAAAGGAGCCCAUCCAUCAACUACUCAGAACAUCUAACCGCAUCAAUGUUGGAUGGGAAUGCUGAUUCUAAACGAUUUACAGAUGCAAGUGUGAUUUAUGAUUCUGAUUCUUCAGACUCAGAUUCCUCAGAAGACCCUGAAGUCAGUCAAACUUUUCCAUCGUCACUGAAAGUAGGGAGGAGAAUGAUCCUCGUAUGUCCCAAGGAUGAAUCAUCUCCUUCAAAGACUGAAGUCCAGUCACGAAAUAUUGAAGAUUUUGCCUCAUGGCAGCGGAUUAUUCGCCUUGAUGCAGUUCGUGCAAAUGGAGAGUGGAUAUCGUAUUCCCCUACUCAGGCUGCCGUACCAGAUGAAAGAGCACGUUGUUCUGCUGAAACUGUUGGGUUGAAGGACUAUGACCACCUAGAACCUUCCAGGAUUUUCCAUGCUGCUCGACUAGUUGCCAUUCUUGAAGCCUAUGCUCUUUAUGACCCUGAAAUUGGCUACUGUCAGGGAAUGAGUGAUUUGCUGUCCCCAAUCGUUGCUGUAAUGACUGAGGACCAUGAAGCUUUCUGGUGUGUUUGUUGGUUUUAUGAGGAAGGCUCGCAUAAUUUUAGGCUCGAUGAGGUUGGAAUCAGAAGGCAACUGAAUAUUGUUUCUAAAAUUAUAAAAUUCAAGGAUUCACAUCUCUACCGACACUUGGAGAAGCUUCAGGCAGAGGACUGCUUUUUUGUAUACAGGAUGGUGGUGGUACUCUUUAGGAGGGAAUUAACUUUUGAGCAAACACUUUGCCUGUGGGAAGUGAUGUGGGCAGAUCAAGCUGCAAUUAGAGCUGGUAUUUGGAAGUCUGCUUGGAGCAGAAUAAGGCUGCGUGCACCCCCAACAGAAGAUUUAUUGUUGUAUGCCAUUGCUGCUUCAGUCUUGCAAAGAAGGAAACAAAUCAUAGAGAAGUAUAGCAGCAUGGAUGAGAUUUUAAGGGAGUGCAAUAGCAUGGCUGGGCAUCUAGACGUGUGGAAACUCCUUAAUGAUGCACAUGACUUGGUUGUGACCCUGCAUGACAAGAUAGAGACCCCUUUUUGAUGGUGUCAUUAAAAUUAUGAGCUUAUGACUAACUAAUUUGUUCAUCUCAGCCGGUGGCGGUGAGGGCCUUUAAACAGAAAGCGCGCAGUAAGACAGAUAUUUCAUCAUAUUGCUGGCUUUGAACGUUUUUUGGAGGGUUUAGAUGUGCCAGCCAGGUAACAUACUCACUGAGAUAUGUAUUUCUGGAGUAUCCAUGCUCUGCUUCUGAUCAAAGUUCGUGGAAUCAUUCAAUUGACGUUUGCAACUUAAUAGAUUCACUACCAACGUGAAGCUAUGCUAACUUAGUUCUUCUUCAUAUAGAUGGCCUUCUUAUGAAUCCCAACCCACCUCACAUCCUGCGCUAGAUUUGUUAUCUGUUCAAAUUGCCAGCGAAGUCUGCUUGCUGCUGCUAGUUAAUAUUUAUCAAAAUGGUUUCAAGGUCCCCAACAUUUUUGGGGAAACAUUUGCCUCCGGUGGCCUUGUAUCAGUAUCAUUUUUAAUAAAAUAUGUUCUGCAAUCAAGAUUAUAGAUGAUAAACAAACAAUUCUAUCCCAUUGAACUGAUGUAGCACUUGGAUGUGAAAUGCCAUCAGUUGCUGAAUUAGGCGUUUAAAAGUUCACUACUAUUAGUCACAAGCAUGCAUUAUAGUUGUCUUAUAUUUAGUGUGAAACCAAAAUUUGAAGAACAGGCACGGUACAAUUGCAAAAAUUGGUGCUCGAUGGAUCAUAACACGUAGCAGUGACUAGGUGAACAAUGGCAGACUCCCCGUGUAACAAAUGCAUGCAGAAAGCUGGGGUUCUAACCUGCCGCUUGAGAGGACUAGCAGAGCAUUUCGAAGUUGGAAGAUAGCAUUUUUUUAAUUAAACAAAAAAAAAAGACUCGAAGAACACCAAACAAGCUAAAAAUUCGACCAUGCAAGCGCAACUGGAGUCCUGACUCCUGAUUACAACAAGUAUAAAGAGAAGAAAAGCGCAAGCGUAAUGGAGGAUAAUGCAAAACCGGAUACUAACUUGAGAAUACAAGUCCAGAAUCAGCGCAAAAGUUGUUUUAAGAAAAUGUAAUGACAGUCAAACACUACGUAAAUGGAAGGUCAUCAUAGGACCAGAGCCAAGUGAAUACUAAUUGUUUACUUCUCCUUGGUAUAGUGUCGGACAGCAAAGGCCAAACCCAUGAUCAAGAGGGGUACAAGAAACUGUAAGAUCUUGAUCACGAAUUCUGGAGUCUUGUCAGGGUUAUACUGGGCUUGCUGUGGUGGGAUGUACAUGCGUUUCAGGGGAACUGUGGCCUUGUCUAUCUCCCCAAUGUAGUAUUGGUCCAUCAUAUCUCUAGCAGAGUCACUAUGGCCAACAUCCUCAAAGUCAUUUGUUGCAUCUUUCCCUGAAGAUUCCAUAUAAUGAUCAGAACAGACCUCCAAAAGUCAUAAUCAAGGCCCAAAGGUCAAGAAUUAAGUGUAGCGUCAGCGCAGGGAAUUUAACAACAUUACCAGUUGCUGAAAGCAAAACUUCAUCACCUCCAGGAUGUUCUUCCAUGAACGGGGUAACAUCAUACACCUGAAAGGAAGUCGGCAAUUGUAAUGAAUGUAAAGUAGCAGAAAUGGUCAAAACAGAGAAAAAAAAAUCAUCAAUAAUAACAACAUUUGCCCAACAGCUUAAACAAAUAAUCUCCAAGGGCCAUCAGACCUAAGAGUGCUAGGUUUCCUUUAGCCCAUCAAAUUGGUUUCAGAAUCCUUGCACUGGUAAAGUUUGAAUUAAUACGUCAACUGCAGAACUAAAAGAAGCCAUUGUUUCACCAAACUCACAAAUGUGCAAAGAUGUUCAAACCCACAAGAAGGCCAAAAGACUCUGAUUGCAUCCUAAGAGAAAUCUUUCAACGUCACCUUUGCAAAUACAAAUUUCUUGAACAUCUUACAGAUGCUUUUAACUGAUUAUACACGCCGACUCUCCUAGAGUGCUACAUCAUUUCAUCUGUAGCCCCGUAACAACUGAUUACAAACCUAUAGCGUGUGGAGUAAUUGUUUGAAGAUGCAGUGGUGUACAAGUAGCAGAAAGAGUAUGAAACAGUAUACAGGGCAAGUUUCCACUCUCCUGGAUAAAAACAGUCUGUUGUAGAAACAGAAUGAUACCAUGUAGGGGGAGACAACAAUUUUGUAAUACCUAUUUGCCUAAACAACUUAUCAUCAAAUAAUGAAACGGUUGAUCCUAGGACCUCAUAUUGAAUCACCAAAAAGAUCUGAGCCAUAUAUGACCCAAUUCAGCUUUUAAUAUUACAGUUGUUUGCAAGUGACAAUGAUGUGAGCUGCAUCAGCAUAUAUUUAAGCACUUCAGGCAAGUAGCAUAAAAGAAGAGACAACUUAAUUGGCCCAGAGGAUCCAAAAGUACAAAAUUCCUGGAGCUUCUGCUGGGCCAACAGGAUGAAAUAAAAGUUAUCAGAAGGGAAAUUCAUCUAGAGAGAGAGAGAGGGAGAGAGAGAUAAAUUCAAGAAAUUUCAAAAAUCAACAGCAAGGGUAUAACAAUGAAGAUCGAACAUGAAAAACCUAAAAACCGAGUAGAAGCUAGAGACUUUUAAAGUAAGAGAAGAGAGAUGAAGCGAAAGGAACAAAGAUUUGACCUUUCCAUUGAUAAUCAGCCAGCAAUCCUUGGUCUUGUUGUGCUGAACAACCUCGUCAAAGGUGUGAACCUUCUGAUCUGAUGCCAUUGUUUCCUGCAAAUACUGAACAACAAAAGUCAAACCCCUCCCGCACCCGUAUACCAAAAAAUUUCAAAAACUUUUAUAAGUAUAUUCAUCAUAUCAGUUAGGUUAGGUGAGGGAAUCAGAGUGUUUAGAUUCCGUACAUGAGAUGUAACAAAAGAAACAAACAAACAAGAAGAAAGAAAAAGAAGAAUCUAGAGGAAUUAUUAGCUUACGGGAGGGAGAAGGAUUUUCGGUGAAAUGUAUAGAAAGAAUAGAUUCUCCCUACCUUCUCUCUCUUUCCUUCUCCUUCUCGGAUCGUUAGCCAAACUACCAACACAGAAUCUUUGAAACAAGCGAGAGAGAGAGAGAGAGAGACAGAGCGCGAGAGUACGAGAGCAGCAGCAGCAGCAGCAGCAGCCUGCAAGUCCAACACCCACAACUUGAGGGCCGCGGUAUUGUUAUAUAAACAAACUACACACAGAAACAGAUCUUACGGUGGUCGGGGUUGGUACGGUUCAAAAUUACGGAACUGUCCCCGGAGCCGUGGCACGUAACCACGCGCCUCCUGCACGAGAAUUUACGAAUGCUGAUGCAUAUGCUAAAAUGAAUCCACUUAGUGAAGUCGUUGGCAGCUUCCUGCUUUGCUACAACUACUGCCUAUUUCUGAAUAUCCAUCUAUGAGCCGCGGAGUUUUUGUAGAGGGAUAACCCCCUUGUGUUUCUUUUAAUAUCACUUCGCAUCUUUAAAGUUUUAGAAAUAUCACUUACUUUUCUGAGUAAUUGUAAAAAGGUUUUAUUAACCCUCACUUAACACAUAAUUUAUAACAUAUCAAAUAAAUAGAUUUCAAAAAUUAAAAAAAAAUAAAUGUCAUUUUUUUCUAUUUCUCUUUUCUCCAGCAUUCUCUCUUAUUCAUAUAUUUUUAGAUGAUUAUAUACAAUAAAUUAAAUUUUGUUUAUCUUUUACUUUUUGUGACUGUGAUAAAGUGAGAUAUGAUUUAUUUGCUUAUUUGUUAGAAAACUAGCAAUUUGGAUUGUCAUUUUUCUUUAAAAAAAAAUCGCUUUCCAUAAACACAUUUCUUAACCGUUUUUUUACUUCACAUUACAUCACAUUGUUAUAGUAAAUUUUUUUAUAAAAGUUUUAGAAAGUGGCAAUCCAAACCGGUUCUUGAAGAGAGCAAAUCCUCCUCUGGUUUGGCGUGUAUCCUAGCUUCUAAGCCAGCAUUUUGUUCCGCGACUAACUACUUAUAGGGUAUUAGUUACUAAUAAAUCAUAAGCGUACCUUGAUUUUCUUAGUAUUUUAAUUUGAGUUUCCCAAUGUGUAUUUUGAAAAGGUAUAAUUUUAGGGUUAAAUGUAGAAAACUUCCAUGAGUUAUUACACCGAUUGCACCUUACAUUCUAAAAUUUUUAAUCGGCACUUUACACCAUUAAUCAACUAAAAAAUAAAUGAAAAUAUUAACUCCAAGUAAGUGAUUAAUGAAUCACUAAUUUAUUCUCCAUUAAAAGCUUAAGUGGCAAAAGGCUCCUUUUGGUGGCAAAGAAUUGUCACUUCAAGUAGAUCAAUUUUCAAUUCACAACAAAAGUCUGAAGAAAAAUAUAUAUAAAAAUGAAACAUAGGAUCACUUUAAGUGACAAUUUAGAUUGUGGGGAAUCAAAUGUAAACGAAGUAAAAUACAAAAUACCCAAAAAAAAAGGGAAAAUUGAAGGUCUGCUUUUGUAACUUUUAAAAAUUUCAUCAUCUUUUUUAAUAGGGGUGUGCAAAAUCGAAAAAUUUCGAUUUAUCGACCGAAUUUGAAUUGAAUUCGGAAUUUCGAAUUCGGUAAUGAGAUUUUUUUCAAAUUCGAAAUUUCUAUUUCGAUUUCAAAUCUAUUUUUUAUAUUAUAAUAAUAAUUUUAUAUUCAUGAAUUCGGUGAAAUCGAAAUUCUUAUUUAGAUUUCAAAUUCGUUUUCACACAUAUAUAUAAUAUUUUUUUUAUAUAUAUGUAAUAUAAUAUUUAUAUAAUAAUAAUCAUUUUUAUAUUUAUGAAUUCGGUGAAAUCGGAAUUUACCAAAUUUCAAAUUGAAUUCGGAACGAAUUCGAAUUCGAAAUUGAUGAAUUCAAAAUCGAAAUCAGUCGAAAAUUAGAAUACCAAAAUUUCAAAAAAUUUCGAUUUCAAAGUUCCGAAUUACCGAUUUCGAUUUCGAUUCACACCCCUAUUUCUCAAUGCGUUAUUAUGCCAUAGCUUCUUAUAAUAUGCAAAUUCCAUUUGGAAUCUUGGCAAGAAUUUAAAUAAAGCAAAGCCCAAUAUUUUUUAUAUGAAUUAGCACAAUAACAGCAACAAAGGUCAAUAUCAAAUCUAAAUUCAAACCCCACAUAUUAGUAAAUAAAAUAAUAUUAGAGUUAAAAGUUUUAACAAAAUAACUAAAAUUUUCACUUUUUUUAGUGAGAAAAAAUUUCAAAUUCGAAUUUUCCCACUUAUACUCAUUUCUUCAAUACCACUCAACUUAUCCCCAUUAUCUAAAAGUUUUCACUUAAUUAUAUGCAUAUGAAAAGAAACUGAAAGUACAAUGGGCAAUUGAGGAAACAAAAAGAAUUUUACCCCGUCAUUGCCUCGGUGGCAAUAUCUUUUUUGACUUGGGCUGAGUCGAAAUAUGCAGUGGAAUGGGGCUGUUCGGAUCCUUAAAGCUGAUUUACUCUAUUUCUUCCAUCUUUUUUAUUAUUUCUUCUACUUCUUUUGUUUGAAUUGUUAUUUUUUUUAGGGUACAAAGUGCAGCUUUUUUUGUUUCCGAAAUGGAAUAAACAUACACACAAUUAAAUUAGGGUACAAAGUGCAGAUAAUGUAAUAAUUUGUGAGAGCAUUUAACAUUUAACUGUAAUUUUUAUAACUACGAGGGACCGGUUUCCAAUUUUUUUAAAAAUUUUUCCAUACAAGAACGCUGGGGUUUCUACCUUCCAUCACCAAGUCAAAGUAUUGACCAGUGAGCGGCGCCGGCGGAACUCGCCGCCUCAACUUUAAUGCCUGCCUAAAGGCUAAAGGCAAAGCGUAUGGACCAGUUGGCUGAGGUAACCGGUAACCACAGUUUUUUUAUUUUUAUUUUUCCCCUUUUCCAUCUAUUUGACAAAACCAACGACCACUGUUGAUUUGAUUUCUUGAUUACAGCGACCUUCUUCGUCAAGUCUAUAAUCUUCUUUUAUGCAAAAUGAAAAGUAGUCGACGGUAAUUUGAAGUUUGUUUGACCAAUCGAUGUGAGUGCAUUUUUCCUUUUAUCUUUUAAGGAAUGUAAUGUGUCGGUAUUAUUUGACUUUUUACAACAAAAUAAAAAGGGUGAUAAAAAUAUUUUACACCAAACAAUAAUCUCAUCUCCUUUUAUAUAUGGUAUAAAUGAUAUAGAUAUCAAUCAUUUAUGAUAAACUUUAGGAAUAAUUUCAAAAACUUCUUUUGAGAUUUGUAAAAUGAUAUCCCUUUUUAGAAUUAUAGGUCCAAUAUCAUCAUAUCAUACAAACAGAAAUUGCUUGCAUAUCCUAAGAUGUUAUGUAUUAGAAACUAAAAUCUAAAUGAAUUCUAAUUUCAUUCCCAGAAGAUAAAAAGUUGACGUAACGCAUUACAGUAUGAACAGUCGAUCCUACUAUUACUGGAUUCGGGGGCACGGACGGUUGCAGGUGCAACCAUCCCUGCCAAUUGUAGUCAUUAUCAACUGGUCGUAAUUUUCUUUGUACAUCGUGUAACUUUUUUUCACAGGAUGUAUUUUCACAACAGAUAGUGGUGGGCCCCACACUUGCGCGCGAAAAUCGAGUUACGUGGUGUAAUCUCAGUCGCACAAAAUUUUGAGGGCCAAUCUUGGCCCUUAACCGUGCAGGGACGGUCAUACUGCCCCAAAUCCUACUACUACUAGAUCUGUGCCAUCCUUCAGGGAUUUGCCAGUAAUAGGAUCCUCAGUCACAAUUUAAAAAUCUUAUUGAAUCAUAGCGUACUUAAUAUCAAAUAAUAUCUCAAAUAAUAUUUCACUUACAUCAUAAACACAAUUUUCAACCCAUUUUUUUAUAUUUUUAAUCACUUUUUUAUCUCACAUAUAUCACAUUAUAAAAAUUAUUACAGUAAUUAUUUCAAAUAAUAUUCUAUCCAAAUAAUGCCAAUUAGGCAGGAACCAGAAACACAUUUUUCAAUCUAUCUUUUUAUAUUUUCAAUCACCUUUUUAUCUCACAUACGUCACAUCAUAAAAAAUAUUUUAAAGGUUUGUUGGAUAGUGUAUUAUUUGAAUUAUUAUUUGGAAUAAUUACUGUAGCACUUUUUAUGAUAUGAUGUAUGUGAGAUAAAAAGGUGAUUGGAAAUAUAAAAAGGUAUAUUGAGAAAUGUGUUUGUGAUGCAAGCAAAAUUACAUCAUCAUUAUAUUGAGAAAUGUGUUUGGAUUGGACUUUAUUUCUUCAUUUAUAUUUGCUUACAUCAUCAUUACAAUUUCCAAUACACCUUUUUACCUUCCCAAUUACCUUUUUAUCUCACACACAUCACAUCACAAAAAAUGCUACAGUAAAAAUAUCUCAAAUAACUUACAAUCCAAACAAACUUAAAAUAAUUUUGGUAUCCAAACACUCCUAUUAUUCUAUCCAAAUAAUGCCAAUUAGGCAGGAACCAGAAACAGUUCCAGCGCCAAUUUUGACCGGCCAAACGAAGUUCACAGCAGUGUGUCAGCAGUAAAUACAGGACUCAUUUAUCAACAAAAAAAAAGAACACGUGAAUCUAUCUAUUCUCCAAUUUAACCACGGCCAUCCGCUCUGAGUCUGAUCUGUCACCUUCCCAAUUUGUCACUCACAAAAUUUACUCUCUGUUUUCCCCUGGAUUCAGGGGACCGGCCAACGAAGAAAUAAUUCAUUUCUCCUGAGGGAUGAGAACUAAAAGUCGGAAAAGAUAAGCUAAUUUUUUUUUGGGGGGUUUUAAUCCUCCGCUAUUAAUGCAGAAAUAAUUGAAGUUUUUUAAUUUGGCUUUCGCCACGGCCCGAGAGUCAGAGACAGUCACAGUCAACGGCCAUGGCCUCUCCCUCUCCAACAGUCCGUUUUCUGAGCCUUCUAGACCAACCCGAGCCCGACCCCCAUAACGGCCACCACAAUCCUCUCGAGCUCGACGAGAGCGACGUCGUUUGGUCCUCCUCCUCCGCCUGCUCUACCGACACCGAAUCCCACUCCCCACCUCUCCCUCCUCCAAUUUGCCGACCACCCAUCUCCGCCGUCAUCGCAACCACGUCAACCCACCCAAUUACGGGCUCUCCGCCGCCCUCUCCCAAGACCACCACCCUCCUCUUGUCCGCCGGAAAUCCACCCUCAACCCCUCCCUCUCUGCAGCCUCGGCCGCCAGGAUGGUCCCGCCCGUGGUUCGAUCCGAGAAUUCUAAUCUGAUUUCCGCCGGAAGGUUCCACCAAUCGGCUCCGGUGAACGUCCCUGUGUGGCCGAAGAAGAAGAAAUUGGGUGAGUUUGAUAAUUUAGAGCGGUUGGAGGAGGUAGACAAUGAGAGAGAAAAGGAGGAUGAGGAGGAGAUGGUGCCGCCUCACGUGAUCGUCGCGAGAUCUCACGUGACAUUCUCUGUUUUCGAAGGCGUUGGACGGACUCUCAAGGGAAGAGACUUGCGGAGCGUGCGUAACGCUGUGUUCCAGAAAACAGGUUUUAUUGACUGAACAUUUCAAGUUCCAUUCAAUCGAUUUUUUUUUUUAUUUUAAAUAAGGGAAAAAAAAAAGAAAAAAAAAACAAAAUCGAUCUAUUUCCUCUUCAGUUCUGUAAUUUUGUUAUGCCUUUGUGCUUUGAUUACUUUAUCUAGAUUCGGAAAAUGGAAGCAGCUAGAUUUUGUUUUGUUGAUGAAAUAAGCUGUACAAAAGCUUUGUAGUAACCAAUCUUGAACUUGUACAUACAGGCGGUUUUAGUUGUCGGUCGACAUUAAUGAAUGUUCAUCUUCUUCCCUCCCCUUUUCUUCCCCCAGAAAUUCUCACAUUGGCCGCAUGGAAUUUUCCCUCUUUUUUUUUUUUUUUUAUCUAUUCUGGUAUUUUAACUGCUCUCCUUUCAUAUAGACGUAGGACCAAGGUUCUACGCAAGAGAGAACUCAUUUAUAAUAUGAAUGCCGAUACAAGCAUUCUUUCUUCGUUGUGCUGGUAGAAAGAAUCCAUAGCAACAUGUAACUGCUAGCGUAUAUUAUUAGUGCAACAAAGAUUCAUCCAAAACAGAACUUGAAACAAUUCUUAAAGGAAAGAUUUGAUUGGGUACUUGUGGACGGAGAGGAAAGCAGGUUUUCUCUCUACAUAAUUUCCACAUCUUUCUGCAACAUGCCAAGAUGUUGCCUCAUCUCGUUCAUGACAUAAAAGCUACUAUUAAUUUUAACCGGGGAACUCUGAGACAAAGCCUGAAUUUUUUUUUCACCGAGUCUGUUGCUUCUGUUACCAUUUACUUCCUCACUAUAGUGAGCUUUAAUCCUGUAACAUUUCUCUGUUCAGAAACGUGAUGGAGAGAUCUGCAGUAAUUGCCUUUUUUAAAGAUUCACUCGACAUUUAGUAGCCAACAUAUCAUCAUUAGUUAAGCGAAGCUGCAGUAACUUCUUGAAGUCUAUAAUGCUGCUCCAUACUCCAUGGCGCUGAGUUUGUUCUCAAAUUAGUUCAUGACGGCUGAUAAAGAAUCGGGUAACGGUGAAUUAUAGCUCUUAGUCUGGUGAAAAUUGGUUAGAUCUGGACAAGCAUUCAAGAUGAGCGCAGAUUGUUUGUCCUUUUUUUUUUUUUUUUUCUGGCUUGGUGCCUUCUCUGCAGCACCUGUACCGGUAGUUGGGCCAUGUCAAAGGCCGGUUCUUUAAUGUUAAAACCUUAUUUUUCUUUUUUUUGGGUAGACUUCACAUAAGUCUGCUGCAAGGAGCAAAGGCUUCACAUAAGUCUGUAGGUUAGCUGAAUUAGACGGAUAUGGAAAAGGUGGUCUAAUCAUAAGAACACCAGAAAGGCAGAACAUAGGUGAGGGUAUUGGGUAUGGGAUGAAUGCUGAAGGGGCGGUCUUGGGCUUCUGGCAUUGAAAGUGAUGUAGCUAGGACGAAUAGCGCUGCUGAUCCUUAGUAGAUGUGGUCCGAAAGUCAGUACCAUCCAUCUCUCCCAACUCAAAUUGAGAGGGCCAGAGUUUUUAGAUAAGAAUCUGGUGCUUUCCGGGAAGUAGAUGAUAAUCGUUUGCACCAAAAGUGCAAGAAGCCAACAAGUGAUAUCGGUUUGCAUGUUUUACUAGAUCACUGCAACAGUGCAUGUUCUGCGUAGGAUUUUUUUCUGGUUUGUGGUUGAAAUGGUUUGUUCGAAGGGAUGGAAGGAGAAUGGGAAGAAAGUGGAGAGGGAAUCUGCUUCGAUCAACCAAAAUGGAGUCAUGAUGGGCUCAAAGAAGUGGACGUCAGUCUCUAGAAGUACUUUACACUGGGAACGUGGAGAUUGACCAUCGCUUUCUCUUUGAGAUCCCUGGAGUGACAAGUGAUGACCGUUGAAUACACCGCUGAGCCACGUUGGGUAUCGCUUUAUUGGCUAUUCUAACGAUUGCAAAAUUUUCGCUUUCGUCCACCUUCAAAAGGUCUGGUGCUCAGGCAACAAUUACAUUUAAGUCAGACCUGGUGAUCAAUGGCCCCCUACUUUUCAAUAGAUUGGGAAGAAUCUACGAGUAUGGACCAUGCUAAAAAGUCAGCUAAGGUCUGCUGUUGUCCAUCUCUGACAAAAGUUGAUCAUGUUGUGGGGCUCUCCUCUAAAGUAGUUGUGAGACUCGCCUCGGUGCGCUUAUUAUUUUUUAGUUCACAGUGAUCAUGGGUCUCUCUCUCCCCCCUCUUUCCUACAAAUUUAUGAGGCAUUGGAAGCUUACAAACUCCAUGAUUAAUUGUUUUGCUCCUAUUACUUCUACUUUUGACGCAUUCUGGUCUGAUAUUGAUAAUCCAAACCAAUGCCCGGCAAUUGAAAACCUUUUGAUGUACAAUGGGUGUAUUAGCAAAAAUUAUUUUUGCCCAUUUAACUACUGGAUCGACCUUACAAUUCUUCCGCAACAGCUGCACUACACUACUACGGAAAUCCUUGUGUCGUCAUUUCUCUACUGCACUGUCAGUUAUUGUGCUCCUUGUCCUCAUUUCUCUGCUGCUCUAUAUGGAUCUAAAAACUGAAUACCCAUUCCUGUUAUUUGACCCGAGUAAUCAUCUAAUACCCUAUUCAGGACCUUGGUGUGUAGGCAAGAAGCUCAUGCAGAUUGGCGGGUUAACCUUGAAUAAAGCUAGAAUCGAUGAGGGGAGAAUCCACAAUCCAUCUCCACAUAUCAUACCGGAAGCAACGGCAGGAACCAUCAAAGUGGCCUUCCUGCUAUUGAGCUUGUGCCAUACAUAGACGACCAAACUGCCCACGCACAUAUCGAUUGCAAAAUAAGCACCUACAAGGAAUGGCACCGCCAUGGCCAUCGGAAGCGGCACCCAUUUCCCAAUCUUUUGGGGGUUAUGUCUCUAAAAAGGUUGGCCACAAAAGCAAAAGCAAAAAACCCAUAACACAGCUGCAAGCAAUGCUGUGGCAGUGCAGAGAAGCCUUCAACACCCAGAAUUGCCAUGUUUCUGUAUAUCAGUGCGUAGGGAGCCUUAUAUUCGCCGUCAGGAUUUCCAACAUCAAAGGCCUUGUAGAAAAGCAAGAAAGUUAUUGGGGCUACUAUGCAGCCAAUGGCGGUCCCAAUGCCUUGGCCAAGCAGCAUUGACCGAGGGGAUGUAAGGGUGAGAUGACCGGUCUUGAAGUCAUGCAUCAAGUCAGAGGAUAUGGAAACUAUAGAUUUUAUGAGCCCACAACCAAUAAGCCCGCAACUACACCAUUAUCUUUUCCAGCCAAGGCGGCAAGCACAAAGAGGGCUACCUUCCCAUAAUUGUAUGCCAUGUUCAUGUCGGUCAGACCAGCACCAUAAGCAUUGCAGAAACUUAGUGAUGGAGCAAGCAAGUAGGCAACGAGAACAAAGUACCACUUCAGCUGUGGAAACAUUUUUGGAAUCACAGCGAUGGAUAUAAUGGAGAACAAGAAAUAUCCAACACAUGCUACCCAUAAAGGAAUGCUCUCUCUCAUGAAGACUUCGUUUCGUUGAAGAUCGUCAAGUGGCUGAGUUCUACUGUCUGAGGUUUCUGUGACCAAAUAGACAUAAUUUAGCAAGAUCCGUAGAAAAAUGUUACUGCUGAAAGUGCAUUUUUGGUUGAAAUACUCUUGGUCUAAAGAGAGGGGCAGCAUUAUGCAAUUUGGAGGCCAUGUGCAAGUUGCUUGCUUACUGAUAUACGAGUCUUCUUCAAUGCAGCACGUAGACUUAGUCCGGUGAAGAAGAGCGACUUAAGAAAUUGUACAAUCCGUCCCCAAGAAUAAGGGCAAUAGAAAUAAAGACCUGCAGCCAUGCAAAAGAGUAAAAUGACAAAAAAUGUUGGUGUAGUUUGUAAAUUAAAACAAUAGUGAGAUUUGCUAUGAAUUUGAAGCUGAACAAUAACAAUCAAGCCGGAUUCAUCAAACGGAUUGAGUCUAAAAUGUCCAAGAUUUUUGUACUAAGGAUCCGUCCGCGGAUCCUGGUGAUGUUGAGAAACUUUGACAUGAAAUAAAAAAAAGUUUUGAGACUGAAGGCAAAAGGCAUUCAGAAGGAGCUUCUUCCCUUGAUAUAAAAAAAAAAAAAAAAAGGGUUAAAAACGGUUAUUUACCAACCUUGUAACCAUUUAGACUCUUCAUACUGCUUUCUGAUAACGUUCUGGGGAACCAAUCCCCCUUGCGGUCGUGUAUUAGUGGCCACAUUAUGCCCCAAGAGAGAACCGCUCCAAAGAGCAAAGACAAAUUGACAAGAUGAGAACAAAUCAUUCCAGCUCCUAUGUAUGUCAUACUGAAAUCAAAAUAGAAUCUGCAAAAUUCAAUUAAUUACAUCAAUUGCAGUUGAAAAAAAAUUUCCAAUUACAAGACUUGAGAACUUGUAAAGAAAAAGCAAAUAACUAAAAGGGUAGGAGUAUAGACGUUUGUCUCCAAGCUUUCAGCCCAAAUGUGGAAGUUGACGAAUCCGCAUUGGCUUCCACCAGAGUAGAACCACUGAAACAUUCCCCACAGGAAACUGAUUGAGAAGAAUUUCAUGAACCCCUGUACCUGUUUCCUGAAGGGGUAAAAAGGAGAUCAAGUUUUAAGAUAUAUCCUGUCCACUUAAUGUUUUCUUCCUUUUUAUCUGCACCAUACCAUGUUAAAUAUAUAUAUAUAUAUAUAUAUAUAUAUAUAUAUAUAUAUAUCACAGUAAAAUUUCUAUAAUCAUUCUUUGCUCACUUGGCAUUUUUGUCCCCCUUGGGAGUAUGGAAACCGUUGAUGAGUACUGCAGUUGCAGUUCCACUAGGAUAAGUCAACUUGUAAUCAAUUAUCAUGAUCUGUGAAUAAAGCAAAGCAGGAAGAGCAUUGCUUGUGAAGCCUACUAGAGACGCAGAUUGUCAAAAUAUACAUUUGUGAACUGCGUCCAAAACAGGGAUGAGCUGUUCUACUGCCAGAAAGAAACAACGUCUAGCUGUUUUAAUUGGCAGGAACGGCGUACCUUUCUAAGAGGAACCAAAGCCAAAAGGCCAACAAAGCUGACAACAAAAAGGAAACGAUCAUCCACUCAACGCCAGGUUCCUUGUAGCUCCCUGGCACAUUUCCCUCGCUAUCAACUCCAGCUUGUUCGUACGUCCUCUUGUUUAAUCCGAGGAGAUAAGACCCAAAACCACCUAAACACCACAAUCAAUAAGGUCUUAUUAACUACGUAAUAGGAUUAUAGCACCAAAAGCUUGAUCGAGCAAGCAGCGGCAAUUCUGUCAAGAAAUUUGCACGGCCACAACAGAAAAGCUGUUUUAGUACCUGCAACGGCUAUGCUAUAGCAUGCAACAGCACAAGUCUGAAUAAUGGUAUUCUCUUGCCUGGUGAACGGAGCUGAGGCGAAACUUGCCCUCUGAAGCAGCUUGGUCCACGUCUGGAUGAAGACAAAGGCGCAAGAAGUGCAGCUGAGACGUUGAGAUUAGGCAACAAGCCAGUGGUGAGAUUGAGCUUCAUCACGAUCACGCUGUAUACGAUCCCAAUCACGAUGCUCGCGAUUACUCCUCGAAGGCUGAUUUGCUUGGUCCACGGAGGAAUUCUUUUUACAUCCUCCUCCAAACCCCCUCCUCUUCCAUCUUCCCCAUCAACUACACCUGUAAUCUCCUUCGAAUCUUCAAUGCCUUGCGUUUCCCCCUCGAGCCAUUCUUGCACUCAUCCUGCCAAUUCCGAUCCAUGACCAAAUUAAUGAACAGUCAUCAGUACGAGAUUCCCAAUAACUAAAAGUCUUGAAUUACCUUGCGUAAGCACAUAAUUAGACAUGAGGCGGAAGCGCAUCCGAUGAACGUGGAAAAAACAACGAAAAGCAAAAAAAAUCCUUAAUGACAAAUUAUAAACAAGGAGCGUAAGCAAGAGUAUUAAUUGAUUACCUGAAAAGAGGGUCAAAAAAUAUUCUUUGUCCAGCUGGUCAGAGAAUUAGACCGCGCAACCAGAAUGCUGUUAUCAUCAAUUAACCGUCCAAGAGCUAAACCACAACGCAGGAAAACAAAAAAACAUAUGACAGCUGCUAAUCCACAAUUACCUAUAAAACUUAAACCAAGAAAUCCAAAGCGGAAAAGAAAAAUUCCCAGAUGGAUUCGGCUCUUUUAGUGCAAUGAGAAUCCAAUCCAAUACGUAAUCAUUAGCUUGAUGAAUGCUACUUAGUAGCUCUUUCGAAAAGAGGAGGAGCACUCAGGGAAGUGAACCAGCUGUAAUGUAAUAACUAGAAUUUAAAGAAGUGAAUCCAGAGAUGCCAGGGAGGGAAGCAAAUAAAGCUCACCAACCGACUGGGCAAGACCUUGUACUACAUCUAGCGCUCUUGUAGUACAAGAAAUGAAAAAGAAAAACCAUAAAGACAUUGGUAGUACACAUGGCGACUACAAUUCCAAAUACUACUGGGGAGUACUACAUCAGUAUGAUUGCCAUUAUAAUGGGAUGGGACUUGUAAGACCAAAUGGUAGGCUAGAAAUGAGCUGCCUUCCCGUUGACUAAAAGUUCCCCGAGUCCAAUAUCUCGGUCGACACACGUAAAAUGGGGAUGAAAAGAUUUUGAUUUUGAUGAUGGAUUCGGAUUUAGGAUGGAAGCAAUUACUAGUCCUGGACAACAGGAGCGUUAGUUCCUUUGAGAAUUUCUUUUUUUUUUUUUUUCUUUGGUUUGGUGCUGUAGUAAAGACUAAAUACUCCGCACUCCGCAAGUUAAAAACGAAAGGGAAAGCGUAAUAUAAGCACAAGGGAGGGAGGAAAGAGUGCUGCCUUUCUUUCACUUUCAGGCUCGUGGUGCAUACACAUGGCGUUGGGGGUGCGGCGACCGAAACAACUUUUUGGUGUCAGGGGAAAUUGAAUUGAUGGUUUAUAAUGAACUUGUGAUGUUGCCAACGAAACCAAAUAACUCUUUAAUCCAAUGCCGCUGCAUCAUGAAAAGUUGGAUCGUUAUUUUUAGAAAUUUCCAUCAAAAAAAAUUUCGGCAAAGAUUUGACUUAUAUAAGUGCAGCGAUUUGAUACAUAUGAAAUAAAAAUAUAUUUAUAAAAAAUAAAAAAUUUUUCUGUAAAAAAUCAUAAUCCAAAUAUGGCCGCAUGAGUUUUCUUCCACGUGUUGCUGAAUUACAAGGGAAUUUUUUCCUUUUUGAAAAAAAAAAAGAAUAAAAGAAAUCACUAAGUUGGAAUAAUUUGGGCGGGCGAGUAGGGAUGACAAUAAUAGAUGGCUAUGAGGUGGAGCCGUCGUCUAGAAGCUCCCCAUUCUCUGUUAUUUCCACCAUUGCCCUACUCUGCAGGUGCACUCUGUCCUGCUCUGCCACUAUUUUUAGUUUUUUUUUUUUUGUAUGUAUACAAUAUUAACAAUGAAUUUACUAAUUAAUAUUUUUAAAAAAUUCAACGUAAAUUAAAAUUUAAAAAUUAUUUUUAUCUUAUGAAAUAUUUGAUUUUGCAUAAAAUCUAAAUCAACUAAGGUUGUUUUUUUUUAAAUCAACAAAAUUAUUGUUUAACUACAAUAAAUUAACAAGAAAGAUUAUAUUUAUAUAUAUGCCCAUGUAUAUAUUAUAUAUAUAUAUAUAUAUAUGUCCGUGCACGUGCAGGUGCAUUUUAGUGAUUAAAAUUAAGACCCACAAUGUAAGGAUUCUUAAUUUUAAUUUCCCUGCCCAUUCCCCACUACUUGAUCCCCGCCGCUGGCUCCAUUUAAUGCUAGAGGAGAAAAAUUCCACCCUCCCCAACCCUCCGGAGGAGAGGCUGUUGAUCGUCCACGGUGGGGUGCUCGACUGCUUGCGGGCCCCUUACAUGGCAAUCGCUUAAUUUGACUGCUCAUUGCCUUAAGAAAAUUUUUUUUGAUUAAGUGCUUAAAAUAUUUGUAAAUUAACUUUAUCUUCUUAUUUACUUUUUCGAAACUUUGUGCACGUCAAAUCACAAAAUAUAUUAGAGCGCCGUCCUGAGUCAUUGGCAGAUUGGUUUAUGCCAAAUAUGGGAAUGGGGAAAAUCAUCUCAUUUUUUAAUUUUCUUUCCCAUUCUGAUUUAUUGGCAAGUAGACACAGCUUUUCGUUCGUUCGCGUCGCAUUCCACGUGACAAUUACGUUCUAAGCAUCUUCUUAGAAUACGGUUGCUUGUGUCAGCCUCGGGUCCUCUCAUACGCAAACAAUAAAUUAUGAAAGUCCACAAAUGAAUUUCUUAAUCCUCACACAACUCGCGACAAAAGCUCUCGCUGAAUAAUUUCCCUUUUAUGCUUUUUUUUUUUAAAAAAAAAUCUUUCUUUCGUCGUUGUUCGUAAUUACUUCAGAGCCUACGACAUGACGGUCCAUUUUACUGCGUGAAUUCGACGCCCAAGUUGGGAUAUUGUACGGUCCGCUUUCAUCAUUCCUUUUUGUUUUUUGGGAUAAUUUCAGAAACGUCGCCUGACGUUGUUGUUUGGCGCUAUUUGACUGGUCUCCGUUCAGAUUUUUUAAAACUAGUAUAAAUACCCGUGCUACUAGAUUACAUUUUUGAAAAAAAUUACAAUCUAUAGAAGAAUUUAAAAAUAGUAAAAUGUUAUAAUCACGGGCACAUGAAAGUAUAUUUAAAAAAAUGAAACCUUGUAACAAUAAUUCAAUAUAUAAUAAAAACAUCUCUAUUAUUUAUAAACUAUCACUUUGAUGAAGGUUGGAUCCUGAAAAAAAUAGAAAUCCAUAUCAUAAAUUGAGCGACAUAAGGGUCCAAUUAAAUAUAAUUAAAUAUUUAAUUUGGUAAAUAAAUGAAAUACUUACAAACAUUUUGCCUUCAAUUUGAUAAUCUUCUACGAAGGCGUGAAUAUUUUUCACACCAAUCAACUCUGAGUACGAACGCCAGUAUUGGGGAUUUAAUUAAUUCUGUUGAUUUUUGUGGAGUUCGUACUAUAAAUGAGAAUGCACGAUUUUUGCAUGACUUAAUGUGUUGGACGAACAAUGCACCUCCAUUUUCCUGACAAUUAAAAGCAUACAUAAUUCAAAAUUAUCUUUUGUUUUAGAUAGUUUGUAAAUAAUAUUGUAUAAAAAUAUAUACAUAUAAAUAAUGUAUACCUUUGUUUUUAAAUCUCUAAGAUAAAAAGCAUCACAACAAAACAUGAAUCGUGCAUGUCUGUCUUGAAGAGCCAGGUAUAGGUUACCACUGAAAUCUUUAACUUCUAUGUUAACAUUGUAUCUGUUAAAAAGAAAUUGUGAUGUAUGAUGUAAAAAAUUAUAUUAAAAUUCAAAAUAUAUGAAAAUAAUUACCUGACAAUAGUGUCGACUACGUCAUUACAAUGGAUAUACACCAUUUUUGCAAAAUGAGAUUAACAUGGUUGUCCAAAAUUUUUGCAUAACUCAUGGAACAUAUUGUCUAUGUUGAUGCUUUGAAUAUAAGCAAGUAUCCGAAAAUAUUUAAUCUAAAACAAUCCAAAGAAUGUUUAGAUUACAAUUAUUAAUUCGAAACUACAUAUAGAUACUUGUUCAUUACUUAAUUAAUUGAGAGGAAUUGUACCGUAGGUAUAACUGCAUAUUUAAAUAUCAAUAUGUUUUUAGCAUUUGAUAUCAAUAAUGCUUGGGACAUUAUAAAACUGCAUGACCGCAACCACGUCACUAAUUUCUGAGCACAUUUAUCAUUCUCAAACCUGCAAAUUUUUCAAAUAUAUAUUCGCAAGAGUAUGAAAUAUUAUUAAUAAUUUAAUAUUUUGGUAUUUGUAAAACUUACCAACUGUGUAGGUAUUGAGCAAAAUCCAAGUAGUAAUUGAGAUACAAUUUGCUUGCUUGAAUAGUAUAAAGUGACGAUCCUGCACAAUGUGCUAUAUUUAUUGAUAAACUAUAAAAAUUAAAUAAAAUAAAUUGAAAAUAAAUUGAAUUACCUUUAUGGGAAUUAGUAGUGGCAUGGCGACCAUCUGACACGCGUGGGCUAAUAAGGAUACCAACAGCAAGUGGAAAGAGAUCUUACUCAAUCUUCUCAUGGAAUUGGAUUGGAAGAGGUUUAAUUGUAGUGGGAAGAUGUGUGAGGAGAGUUAAUUGGAAUUAACUUCUUGUUUGAGGGAACGUGAGAAUGUUUAGUUGGAGUUAACUUCUUGUUUGAGAAAAAACGUGGGGGUAUAAUGUGCUCAUGAUGUUUUUUACGAAAUAAAUUAAAUGUAAAAUGCUAUAAAAAUAGAGUUGAGAGUGGGAAGGAUUGUGAAGGAUUGUUUCUAAAAAUACCUUCUUAAAUUUAUAUAGAUAUAGAUUACACUACUAACUUUCAUUAAUAUUUUUUAUUUUAUAACAUGUAAAUCUAACCAAUAAAUAAAAAGUGAUAUUAUAAGAGAUAAGAUAAUAUGAUUCAAUCAUUUCCACUCAACUACUGAAUUAUUUAAUUAAAUUAAUACCUAUCCAAACAUUUAUUAGAAAUUAAAUAACAUAUUUCAUAAAAAAUAGUACAUCAUUCUGUAUAUUUCAUUUAACAUAAGAUUCAAAUUGCUAUUUUCAAUUACUAAUUCAUUGUCAAAUGUGUUCAACAACAAAUAAUCAAAAAGUUUUGUAACCAAAAUAUUACAAAGAGUAAACUUUAAUACCAUAAAAGUUUUGACAACUAAUCUUAAUUUAUUGACAAGAAUAUUUAUGAUGUUAAAAUUUGUUCUUUAUAAUAUUUUGGUUGCAAUUUUUUAAUUAUUUGUUAUUAAUCAUAUUUGACAAUGGGCAUGCAACUGAAUAAAGUAGAUUGGAUCUUGUAUUAAAUGAAAUAUAAAAAAUGCUAUAUUAUUUUUUAGGGAUAAUAUCAAAAACCUUCCCGAGGUUUCUCUUAAUGUCACCUGACAGUCUGACACCCCUAAGAUUUUAAAAAUAUCACUUACCUCCCUUACCUUUGUUAUUUAUGUAACAAAAUUUUUAAAAACCCUAAACUACCAUUGCACUUGCUAAAUAAAAAUGUUCCUAAACCACUUUGUUCACUUUAAGAAAAUCAUCACCUCAAAAGUAAUCUCUUGUAGUAUUGCUACAUCACAAUUAUAUACCCCAUAAAAAUAUAAAUUUGAAAAAAAAAUGAUAUUUGAAAAGAAAUACACUUGCAUUAAUUUAAUUCUAUAUGCUCAAAACCGAUUUCCUAUAAAUUUACAUUUUUUUCCAACAUCUUCUCAACCCUUUACUCAAACCAUUAAACUAUACCAAUCAUUAUAAAAAUCAACCCAAAAUAAGCAAAUAAAUCAUACCCCACUUUAUCGCAAUCACAAAAUGUAAAAGAUAGACAAAAUUUAAUUUAUCAUAAUUUACAAUAAAAUAUUGCAUAGUCAUCCAAAAAUAUAUGAGUAAGAGAGAAUGAUGGAGAAAAGGGAAAAAGAAGAAUGUGACUUCGGGUUUUUUUUUUUUUUGAGUUUCAUUUAUUUGAUAUGUUGUGAAUUAUGUAUCAAGUAAGGGUUAAUAUAAUCGUUUUGCAAUUAUAAGGGGAGGUAGGUGAUAUUUCUAAAAUCUCUAGGGUGCCAAGUGAUAUUAAGAGAAAGCUCAAGAAAGGUUUCUGAUAUUACCCCUAUUUUUUUAAUAUAAUAUACAUGGACAUGCAAUUGAAUCAUACUAUUUUUUCUCUCCUAACAUUACUUUUUUAAUUACUGGUUGAGGGCGAUUGAUGUAAUUUUUAAAAUAUGAAUAGAAGUUAGUGAAAUAGUUAGAAACCUCACUGAAGGUUUUCUGAAAUUAUCCUUGUUUUUUCCCCUAUUUUGAGGGGACUACUGGUCUCGUUUUAUUAUUUCUUUCUGGGGUAUGUGUAUAUAUAUAUAUAUAUAUAUAUAUAUAUACAUGGGUGUUUAUUGUAGCGAUAGUCAUGUUGUAUGAGUGGAAAGUUUAGUACAUAAGAUAUGAAUAGAUAAUAGUGAAUAUUAAAGGAUACAUUUGAUCAAAUAAAUAAUGACACUUAUUAUUAUUUUUUGGUUACACCAAAUCGUGCUCAGGUUUUAUGUGUAGAAAAAAAGGAUGUAAGGGUCACUCCAGGGAGGAUGGGAAAAUGCUUGCUCCAGAGUCAAAAUCGGAACGGUGUCCAACUAUGGUUUGGUUAACCUAGUGACAAACCCAACAAUUAUUCAGCUUCCGCUCUUUUGUAGUCUCUUAACAAUUUUAUGUGGUGAUUUUAUAGUUUGCUUUUUAUACAUAAGUUUGGUAGUCACACACCGUAUACAGUGCCACUCUUAAAUGCACCUCACAUCACAUGUGCAAAAAAAAAGGAAAUAAAUGAGGCCCAUUAGCCUCUGAAUCCAAGAAGAAAAUAAGCAAACCAUCUAAUGGAUCCAGCUCAAAUAGAACUCCACACUCAGCCUCAUAUGCUCCUGAUCCAGUGCACUCUAUUGAAAGCCGGAGCUGCUAUAGGAAAGCAAUGGGCAUUGAUGUAAGUUCACAUUUGUCUCUGCCCACUUCAUCUGGACGGUCCAGGUCCAACUUCUUUUUUCUCUCAAUAACUGCCAGGGAGACUUGAUUUGUAAUUUUGAAAGUUGGGAGGAGGGCGUUCUCGAUAACCGAGACCCAUCGCGAAAAUUCCUCUUCGCUGCUCCUUCCUUCUUCGUCUUCAAGAAAAAUUACUACACACGAAGUGGGAAAACAAAAGAGAUAAAGAAAAUCGUUUACCGAUUGGUGCAGCUGAGCGAGUGAGGGGGCGCUUUUCUGCGUCUUUUUCUACUGUGCAUCCUCUGCCCUGAUCGAAUUAGUUUAUAAUAUUUACUAGUUAGUUGUAUAACACAGAAGAAGAAGCAAAAAAAAAAAAAAAAGAAAGGAGAGAAAGAUGAAGAGCAAUUCGACAGAGAUGAAAUUCGUGCAAGACCUGAUACUGUACGCUGCCAGCGCCGCUCUGAGUUGCUUGGUCUUAUUCACGGGCUCCGACUUCUCGACCCGAACCGGGAGGCCUCCAAGAAAGCCCUCGAACACAAGAAGGAAAUCUCCAAGCGCUUGGGCCGCCCUCUUAUUCAAACAAAUCCCUACGAGGUCCUUUUUUUUUUUUUUACCCCCUUUUCUUUCCCUCCUUUUGCAUAAACCGCAUAUUAUAUGAAUAUUGUUUAUUUUGAGCACCAUAUAUAAAUAUAUAUAUAAAACGGAGAGAGGGUCAAUUGAGAGAUAAGUAUAAGAAGAAUUUAAAAUUUUAAUGUUAGGGAAAUUGAAUCGAUAUUGAGUUGGAGUAAUUUAUUUUGAGUAGCCGACAAGAAAUGAGCUUUUUGAUCGUUGGAAUACCCUGGGUUGGAUUUCUUAGGCAAUGAUAUUCCUUCCGUCUGGUGUAGAGAUUGAUAUAUUUUGAGAGCCCUUCAGCUGAGAAAAAGGGCCUUCAGUACGAGAGUGAUUUUAUUUUUUAUUAUUAUCAUUUUUGGUAAGAUCAUUAUGAGAGUGAUUAUUCGUCUGCAAAAAGUAGAAUGAAAACAAGGCAAAAGAUUAACCUCCUAGGCUCAGAGCCUCUUCUCCCUCCUUCUGUGGUUUUCGAUCGUGCAGUUUUGAAAAGUCCAGCCAAAAAGCAUUACCUAUUUUCCUGAUUCUUCUACGUUAAUAUUGUUCCGGCCUUCCCAAGGAAGAAGGUUUAGGUAAAAGAUUUAACCAGUUGGUUGCGUUAGUUAGAAAUUCUUUUUGCUGGGACGGUUUCACGAGUUAGAAAUUCUAUCCAUUCUAUAGUACCUUAAUCCUUUGGCCAUCAGGGUUUAACAUGAAUUACGAAAGGUUACAUAAACUUGAUGUGGCCAUUUUUUAUUUAGGUCAAGAAUCCAACAACUCGCUUCUUUUUGAACCUCCUUCCAACUCCAAGACUUGUAAAUUAGGAACUUCCACGCCAUGGAGUUGAAAGGAAAUGAUAGCCACUUUUUUUCCACUUUUGCUUUUGUGCGAGGAUAACUGUGAUAGACUCUGAAUUAGAGGCUUUGUAGCUCAGCUGGCUGCUGUGGUUCACUAACAGUAUAUUACCAGCAUUAAGCUUGUACGUUUUGAGCAUUCACUAUAUAGCUGCUCUGCAGUUUGUAAGAACCUUAGCUUUUUGAACGGGAUAGGUUUUCUCCUGAUAAAAAGUUGUUUCCUUUCUUACUCGUCGACCCAUUGAUGUGCUUUUGGAAUGUGACAUUUUGUUCAUUGUCAUGCCCUCAGUAUCAAAUGCAGUCACUAUGUUUAUCUCUUGACUCAUGGUAUGUUUUCAAUGGCAAUGUAGGAUGUGAUAGCUUGUGAUGUCAUCAACCCCAAUCAUAUUGAUGUGGAAUUUGACUCUAUUGGUGGAUUGGAAGCCAUCAAGGAAGCCUUGUUUGAAUUGGUCAUUCUUCCGCUUACGGAGGCCUGAACUGUUGCUCGUGGGAAGCUCCUUGGACCACAAAAAGGUGUCUUGCUGUAUGGACCUCCUGGUACUGGAAGACGAUGCUUGCCAAAGCAAUUGCAAAAGAGUCUGGUGCUGUUUUUAUCAAUGUGAGAAUAUCAAAUCUGAUGAGCAAAUGGUUUGGUGAUGCUCAAAAACUUGGUGCGUCUUUAUCGGCGUCCCACUAAGGGAUUUUCUUUCUUCUUCUCCCUACAUCCUUUCAGUCUGCUAAAAUGUUUGUAAAUGGGCAUCUAUGUCAUGUGCGACUUUCAUUUUACAGCAUGGACUUUGCUACUUAGUGCUCUUCUCGUUAAUUUUUGAGUGACUUUUACUGGUCUUACUCGUCACAGUGUGGUUGAUUCUAUAUGUUGCUUUAUUGAACUUCAAUUCUAUUUCCUUUUGCAGUGGCCGCUGUGUUUAGCUUAGCGUAUAAGCUUCAGCCAGCAAUUAUAUUCAUUGAUGAGGUGGAUAGUUUUUGGGUCAGCGCAAGACUACUGACCAUGAAGCACUAACAAACAUGAAGACUGAAUUUAUGGCUUUAUGGGAUGGUUUUACCACAGAUCGUAAGUUUGAGAUUUCAACUUGAGGUCCAUCUUAAAGUUUCCCAGGAACUCUGUAUGGCUUGUGAAAAAGACUUACCACAGUUGAUUAAUAGACUGAUUGAAUUUCAAAAGAAAUUGUUUCUUUUCAUGGCUGAUAUUUUGUUGAACUCAUGGCAUGUUGGUAUUAAUGGAUACCCCUGAGAAUAUUUCAUUCUUCUGCAUGUAGAUGAAUGAAUUAAAUUUGGAUUGGGAGAAUUAAUUGCAUCCGUAGAUAAAGCAACCACUGUCUUGUUGUGAGUUUGAAUUGUUUACUAAUUGAACCAGAUCUUAUAUGUUUUAUCUUGUACCAAUAGCUUUGUUCAUGUUUAUUAUUGAUGUUCUCAGUUUCUGUUUGCAUCAGUCUUCUGCCUGUAAUUGCAUGCGGCUUAUUUUGUAGAUAAUGCUCGUGUAAUGGUACUUGCUGCUACAAACCGUCCAUCUGAGCUGGAUGAAGCAAUUCUUCGGCGCCUUCCUCAGGCCUUUGAGAUUGGCAUGCCUGAUCGCCGAGAGAGAGCUGAAAUACUGAAGGUGAUUCUGAAGGGUGAGAAGGUUGAAGAUAACAUUGACUUUGAUCGCAUAGCUGGUCUAUGUGAUGGAUACACUGGCUCAGAUCUUCUUGAGCUCUGUAAGAAAGCUGCCUAUUUUCCUAUCAGGGAUCUACUUGAUGCAGAGAAGGGGGGAAGUUCUUCUCUGGUUUGUGAUUUUAUCCUUUACUUGCUCAAGUAUCUGGUUUGCACCUACAUUUUCCUUUUGACUGCAGUCUGUGUGGUGAUGACAAGAAAUCACUCUGAUUUCAUAAUAAUAAAUAUGAAUGCAUGGGCUCGUGUACUAUUCCGAACUUGCAUCAACUAUUACUCUACCACUAGCUUCAUUAAGCUUGUUCAGAUGCUCUAAGGCUCUGCUCUGAACAUUUGGUCCAUCUUCUGUCUGUCAAUCGAGCAUUUCACCAUUUAUUUAAGAUGCGGUUCACUAAGAAGAAUGAGUUCAUAUUAGACUUGCGUAAAAGUUCAGUUAAUCUCAAUAUGGAUUAGUAAGAACCCUCGUGCUUUUGAUUCUGUAUCUUCCUCUUACCUUUCAACUUCGGUAACUUCGUCUUUGCUGGUUGCUUCCUACGAGUGAUUUUUUUCAUCGGUUUAAAGUUUAGGUUGUAUUUGAAUUAAACAUAGAGGAACCAUAUUUUUGUCAUGCAUCUUUUACAUAAAUUAGUGUAUUUAGAAAAUUAGACUUGGUCUAGAAAAAGUGGUGUAACGUUUCCUUCCAGUAUUUGAUCGUCUGCAGAACGUGUGUGAGUUUAGAGUACUUUUAAAUUUUCUGAUUCGCGUACCUCUUCAGGAGGCUCGACCAUUGUCACAAUCAGAUUUAGAGAGAGUAAUUUCCACAACAACAAAAACGAAGGUUGCUGCAACUGAGUACACCAGAUUUAAUUCUCAAUCAUCCGGAUGGUCAAGGCAUGCUGAUCCAGAUUAUGUACAAGUUGCGAUCAGCGAGCUUUCUAAACUCGUGACUUCUCAGAUUUUGAACAUCCAGCCAGAUGAUGCUGAAGACCCUUAAUCAUUUAUUUGAGCUGAGGCAGCAAAGAUUUUCUGCUUCUGUAUGACACUCCGCCAAAGAUAGUUUUUACAUACUAGUUUUUUUUUUUUUUAAGAAUCAAAUUUGAUAUGUUUGCAGAAGUUUAGUUUAAUGGGUUGAAUCUUAAUGAGCCAUUAACAAAUAUUUGUGUUCCCCUGAUUAAGCGUCUUUUAGCAUGUAUAGAUAUAGAAAUAGAAUAAUUAUUUGGAAGGUUUCAUGGCGAUGGGAUUUGGCCGAAUUUUUUGGCAUUAAUCUGGUCGGUGAUGUUGUUGUUGAGUGAAAGGCAGCUUAGGGAAGAAGGGGGGACGGGCAUAAAUGUCUUUUCAGUAGGGAAUGCUGGCUUUUCAUUUAGUAGUAUAAUUGUACUGAAUCUUGUCACUUGGCGUGGCUAUUUUGAGGAUUAAUCAUUCGUGCGACUAUGAUCCACGAUGGAAUAAAUUUGUCCUCGUUGUUGCUUGUGUAUUUCAUUCCCUCAAGUAAACGUUUCCUUGGAAGAAGAGGAUUAAUGUCAGUUGUGUGAUGAGAUGUGAUUGUCGGUGAUGCAGAUACUUUAGAGCCCCUUGGAAUAAAAUUUUUUUUUUUUGGCCGAUUUUUUAAUUUAUUAUUAUUAUGGGCGUAGCUGCAAAGGAUAACGGCCUCUGCAGGAUGCUGACAGAAAUGAAAAUCAAGCAAUUAUCGAUAGGCGGCAGAUGAAGUUGCCUUGCUCCAUCCUUUUGGAUAAGGUGCAAUUAAGGUAAUGCGUGCAUGUCAAAUAUAGGUAAUCGAUUACAUUAGAUGUCUCUUCUUUUUUUUUUUUUUAAACCCUUCUGCCGCCUUUUUUCUGCACUCUUCCAACUCCAGGGAAUGUUUUUUUUUUUUUUUUAUCUGCACAAAAGUAACAUGCAAAAUGCUUCUUGAAACCAAAAUGAGACGUCAACGCAGCACUUAAAAUGGGUAUUUGAGAGGCACAUAUUAUCCACAUGAACGAACGAGAGAUGACGGACGCCCCCAUUUGAUUUGACUCUCCGAUGGCAUCUGGUGUAGUGACGCACAAUAAACGCUGCAACACAACGCAGCACGACAUGCGGACUAAACCACUCUGACCGUCUGCUUUUUGACGCCUUCGUGUUGAAGGUCAAGUUAUUGAAAAUCCACCGGUGGAUCAUUAAUUAUGUGCAAAUCCUCCGGUUCCUUUUUUUUUUUUUGUUUUGUUUUGUUUUGUGUGGAGUUGGUGGAAAAAUCAUGAAUACGAGAUACGAUUUCUUCUGUAUAUUAAUAGAAGGUGAGAUUUACCACUUGUUCUUGAUAUUCAUGAGAGAGCAGGUUUCGAUCUCACGAGAGUUUUCCAUUAUCCAGGAAAAAUGAUUAUUACAAUUAUUAAUUAAAGAAAACAAAUGACUCACGCGACAGUUUUAAGCGGUCGAAAAUGAAAAGUCUGUCGACGAAGUCCCAACAAGCUCCUGGCUGGGACAGGAAGUAAUUUAGGCGCACUAAACACUAGUACUGGUUGUUUGUCUUUCCAACUCCUACUAACCAACCAACCGACCGAAAGCAAACAAACGCAAAAGAGAGCCCCCCAGUCUUCUUCUUCUUCUUCUUCUUCUUCUUAUAUCUGUCUCUAUCUAUAUAACGACUUUUUCAGGCAGAGAAGCUGCCGUGGCCGCCGGAGUGAUGUCCCACCUAGUCCUUAGCUGCGAAUCAUUUACCGUUGCCUUUUGUCAACUCCAAUACUAGAUUUUUCUCGUUGAUUAAUUAGACCUAAUUCCAGAUGAAACUCCAAAAGCCAGGUAACUCUUGGAACCCACCUCCAGGGACUUAACUAUUCAAUCCAAAUCCUCCCAAGACCGACGUGGGAUAACUGGCCUAAGGGGGAAAUCUACUGCUAAGUGGGAUACUACCACCUAAGGGGGAUUUACCGCUGUCUUGCCAAUCAAUUUUCAUGGGAUUAUAUAUAUAGAGAGAGAGAGAGAGAGAGAGUAAAUUCAAAAUUUACCCAAAUCCACGUUUUACACAUUUAUUGGUAAACUGCAAAUAUAUAUAUAUAUAUUAAUUAAAAUAAAAAAGAAGAAAGUGUAGCAUUUGUGUUAGCAAUCUUGGACUGCCAUUUAGUUAUCUGUUGUAUUUAAAUACACAAGGGCAGCUUCCUUGUAAGAUACACGCUACUAUAAGCCAGACAAAUUGUGAGUCAAAUCUCCCAUCCAUCUCACAUGUAAAUAAAAAGAGAGGGAGGGAAUGAUUCAACGAGUCCAAGGCCAACAGCUAUGAAUGAGGUAUCCGUUCCCAGCCCCCGCGAGAAAGAUCAAAGAGAGAAGCCCCCCCCCAGUUUAAAACAAAUCAAAGCCCCGUUGUUGAAGUUGAAUUGAAUGACCACUGAAGCAGCAUCCGUCGAAUAAUCAAAAGCAUACCAUCCAUGGCCAUGGAUUCUUGACCAUUGAAAAGUCUCACCCCAAUUAUUCUCCUACUCGUUUUUCUUUCUUUUUUUUAUUUUUUUAUUUUUGGUUGAAAAAAAGUAGCGUUCUGCAUCAUUGACCACAAAUAGAAUAAGAUAAAAUUGAAAGAAAAGGCUUAACACCAGAUUAAGCGUUCUCGUUUUAAAAUAUAAUGUCAUAAUAAUACUCCUGCCUUUAUAUAUCACUAUAUUACUACUAUUAUCCAACUAAUAACACUAAUAAGUGAAAGAUGAGAAUUUUGGUUACAUGUUGUCGUUAAAGUGGGUCCAUGAAUUGCUACUUUUAGUAUUUAAGUGGACGGUUCCGUCUAAUGCGGAUGCCCAGAAGACACUUUAGUAACCGCAACGGAUCUUCUGUCCCACAUCCUGUACCAUUCUCUGUCUCACUUUUUAUUAUAUUGCUAUUUCUCCUAUAUAAAUAUCAUGUUUUAGUUCUUUUUUGUUUCUUUAAGAUCCAAUAAUUAUUACUUGAGUAAUAUACAAAAUUUAACAAACUCAAAAAAUCAAAAUGCAUAAAAAAUGAGAUAUUUUAUGAAUUUUCUACUGUAUUUUUUAAUUUUCUAUUAUAUAUUGGUUUUUUGAAGCUAUUGUAUUGGCUUUUUAUUCAGUUAAUAGUUAUUGGAUCUUAAGGAAACAAAAAAAAAAUUAAAAUAUGGUGUUUAUGUAGGAAAAAUAGCAAUAUAAUAAAAAAUGGGACAGAGAAUGGCACAGGAUGUGGGACAGAAGAUCCGUUGCACUUGGCAACAUAUGUUUGAGGUGUUAUAUUUUUAAAAGUAUAAGGUAAAUUAAGAAAUGUAUAUAAAUAUAAAAAAAAGUUAGAUCGGAUUAAAUAAAAAAUAUAUAUAAAUAUAAGAGAGAAUAAUAAUUAUUAAUAUAUAUAUAUAUAUGAAAUAAGUUAUGUGAAUAUUAAAUAUGUUAACGAAUUUGAUAGAAAAAUCAUAAGCUGAUUGUUACAUGCCAGCCACUCAGGAAAUUUUCAUAAUAACAAAUGACCGUACGCAAUCAUAAUUACAAGCAAAUGCGGAAAAAAAAAAAGGCUUUCUAUUUUGUGACAUGGUGCCUGAAAUAAAAAAAAAAGGGUGAGUUUAUUAUUGUGAGGAAAAUUUUAAAAUCAUUAUUGCUCGCUCUAAAAUUAGCUAGCGUCAUAAAACACACUUUUUAUAAUAUUUGGAGCUCGGUGGGCACUACAGAAUACGAAGAAGGGAGGAAAAAGAGCAAAAAAAAAAAAAACAAAGAAAAAGCAGCAAGAGUCCAAGGUAAGAGCUGAUCUCACAAAUUCUCCCUCAGACGCGGACAUAUAUCAUAUAUGCGUUCGUUCAUUUCUUCUCUGUUUCUCACGCAACAUAAUAUAUACAUACUUCUGCUGCUAGUAUAUUCUACGAGUAUUAUGAUUUGACCAAUUAAACGGGGGAAGGGCGCCGGCCAUAGCCGUCUCCUGGAGCUGAAAUUCAAACCAAGCAAACACGCCAUUUAAAGAUGGCCCUAAUUUCUUCCAUCCCCAUAUAUGAAUCUGAUACGUUCUUCUUCCUCUCAUUCCUUCCUCCUCCAAAAUCUCCAACUCCGGAACCCUCUCUCCCUCAUUGUUACUGCUUCCAUACCACUAGCUUCAUAAUUAGCACUGCUAGUAUUCCUUUAUAAUACCAUACUGCUACUGCUAUUAGUGGUUUAUUAUCCUGUUCUCAUCAUCAUCAAAUCAUCCCCAUACUUUCCCUUCUUCUUCCGGAUGCUGAUGCCUUUUCCCUGUCACUCCCGCACCAUCAUUUCUCCAUCGUUUGGCAGAUGAGGAGUUCCCCCUCUUCCUCCGUCGCGCUCUCACCCUUCUUUACUUUCUCCAUUUUGGCUCGUCUUUAAUUUCCCGGCAAUAACAACCCAACCCUUUUUUCCCCCUUCUUCUACUUCGUAAUUAUCGUUAGGCACGAGUCAUCCGCGUAAUCAACCAUGUUUUUUCUAAAUCCAAUUUUAUUCUUGUUGUUGAUAAUCGUAGUCCCCUUUUUAAUCUUUAGGUUCUUGUCCAGAACAUCCAUUCUGCAUAUCGCGAACAAUUGGUGGCGGACUUUGGCUGACAAAUUUUACGUGUACCAGUUGUACAGAGUUCCCCAAUUCAACGACCACAUGCAGGAAAAUCAACUCUACCGAAAAGUUCACACCUACCUCAGUUCCCUCCCGGCCGUCGAGGACUCCGACUUCACCAACCUCUUCUCCGGUGCCAAACCCAACGAGAUCAACCUCGUCCUCGACCCCAACCAGAUCGUCCUCGACAAUUUCCUCGGCGCUCGAUUGUUCUGGAUUAACCAGAAAUGCGACGGGUCUGGGUUGAAAUCGCUGGUUCUCAAGAUCAGGAAGUCCGACAAGCGCAGAAUUCUGCGCCCCUACCUCCAGCAUAUCCAUUCGGUCUUCGAGGAACUCGAACAGCGAAAGGAUGUCAAACUUUACAUCAACGUCGAGGACGAGCCGCAGAGAAACGGACGGUGGAGGUCGGUUCCCUUCACGCAUCCGGCGACGAUUGACUCGGUCGUGAUGGACUCGGACUUGAAGAACAAAGUCAAGUCGGAUUUAGAAUCCUUCCUCAAGUCCAAACAGUAUUAUAACCGAUUAGGCCGGGUUUGGAAGCGGAGUUAUCUCCUCUACGGGCCCUCCGGUACCGGGAAGUCCACAUUCAUCGCUGCGAUGGCCAAGUUCCUCUCCUACGACGUCUACGACGUCGACCUAUCCAAAAUAUCGGCGACUCUGAUUUGAGGUCGCUGCUGCUGCAAACGACGAGCAAGUCGCUAAUCGUGAUGGAAGAUCUGGAGCGCCAUCUGACGGGGAAAUCAACGGCGGUGAGCUUGUCCGGGAUCCUCAACUUCAUGGACGGCAUAGUCUCGUGCUGCGGCGAGGAGCGCGUGAUGGUAUUCACAAUGAACGGCAAGGAUCACGUUGAUCCCGCGAUUCUGAGGCCCGGGAGGAUAGAUAUUCACCUGGAGUUCCCUCUCUGCGAUUUCAACGCCUUCAAAAGUUUGGCCAACAGCCAUUUGGGUGUGAAGGAGCACAAGCUUUUCCCUCAGGUGGAAGAGAUGUUCCAGAGCGGGGCGAGUUUGAGUCCGGCCGAAAUUGGCGAGCUUAUGAUUGCCAACCGGGCCUCUCCCAGCCGGGCCUUGAAAUCCGUAAUAUCCGCUCUGCAGAAUAACGCGGACGCCAAGUUAGGUGCCAGGAUGUCGCGCAACGGGUCGGUCCGGUCAGCGGAGGAAUCCGGCGACUCGGGAAUAUUGUGUAAAGACGCCGGUGUUUCCACCGUCAAGGAGUUUCGGAAAUUAUAUGGAUUCUUGAGGAGGAGCCGAAGGGAAUCCGCAGAUUUGGAUGACAAGGAAAGGGAAAUUGGUCGACAAGAAAGUUGAGUAGUGCCCACCCGUCCGCCAAUCAAACUACACCAAAUCAGAAAACCGUUUAAAGUUUCAGAAGAGUAGUCUGUCUUUCUCUCUCUGUUGAGCUCAAUAGUCCAGUAAAGAUAUUUUUGGUUUUUUCUCUCCCCUUUUCCUAUCUUCCUUCCAUAGUAUAGUUAGCAUUUGGGGGAAAAAAUACUACUGCUGUAGUAUAUAUAAUUAGCACAGCGUUAAUGUUUAGCGGGAAAACUUCCACAGGAUACUACAGUAACCAUUGUUGUAGCAGUAAAGUAGCCAGCAGUAAAGAUAGAGAUCCAUUUUUAAGUUGUUUGCUGGGAUCUUCUUCCCAAGAACAACACAGCAGAAAAUUUUCCUUCCGUCCAUGUCAGGUGUCUAACGAUCUAAUGAUGUAGCAGUCACCCAAACAAGGUGCGGGGACGGUCCUAGUCCUAGUCAGAAAAUAAAUAUUAGCGACAAAAGGAGGUUUUGGUUUCAACGCCUUUAGAAGAAGGAAGGAGAGGGGCUGGCAAUGGCAUAUGGAAAUUUCGAUGCCCUCUGAAAAUGGUCAUUGACUUGGGUGUUCGUUCGUUGGUUGCAUUUUAUGUCUGAUUUUGACUUUUUUUGGCAAACUGGCGCCGAAAUUACCUACCGUUAUCAUAUCAUAUCAAUUAAUCAAUCAAUAAAGGCAUAAAAACGGAAAGGAUGACUUUUUUUUUUUUUUGGUUGGGGGGGCACACCAAGAAGGUAACACGACGCCGACCUUUAUUACAAAAUCAUCAAUUAUUCCAAAGCGAGUGGUGAAUAAUACAUGACGCAGCGUAUAUGUGCUGUCGAAAGAAGAUGGAACCAAAAAAAAAAAUAAAAAUUGGUCUCCUAAUUUCUUUUGACUCGCUUCAUCAUAUGAAGAUGGAUAUUAAAAUUUGUUGAGAGUCCAUUUCAUAUGUGUUUGGAUAGUGUAUUAUUUGAAAUAUUAUUUGAAAUAAUUACUGUAACACUUUUUGUGAUAUGAUAUGAUGUAUGUGAGAUAAAAAGGUGAUUGGGAAUAUAAAAAGGUAGAUUGAGAAAUGUAUUUAUGAUGCAAGCGAAAUAUUAUUAAAAUAAUUUUGGUAUCCAAACACUCUCGCAGCUAGCUACUGCUUCGAUAGGGUUUGGAUAUGAAAUGUUGCUAAAUUUGGUCUAGAAAAUGAAAAUUUAGUAGUAGAAGUAGUAGUAUCAAAGCUAAUCCAAUAUGAUAUGACGACUUGGAAUUCAUUUCGCAGCGCUGAGAAUGAGAAUGGCAUUCAAAUUGGGAAUCAGGCGAUCGUCAUAGCUGAAUGUGAAUGUUCUCCGUGUAUGGACUAAGUAUAGUGUAUAUCCUUCCUUCUUUCUUAUGAUGGAGAGAUAACGAUAACACGCGAUUUACAAUUGGUCUCCAACAACAACUCUCCUUAGUUUACUCUCCAGGUCCAUUUAUUCUUCUCGUAAUCUAGUAGCCAUGCCCCCUUUGGAUAAUUACUCUGCUGUUUUGCAAAAAUCUUCAAAAUUAGUUCUGACUUGACAUAAAAAGAGGUGCUUGAUUUAAUUCUCUGCAAAUAUAUUUUGUGAUCUAAUGGCAGGUAUAAUGAACACUAAUGCUUUUACUCGUGUUUCAAACUACGGAAGUCGCGUGGCGUGAGAGCCUUGCUCCUAGGAAUGAGCGCAUAUACAGGAAAUUUUCAUCUACGAGGAUUGGAUUGUCAUCUAGUCAGUUACUUUCGCUAAUCUUAAAAUUUGGUGGUACUAGUGUACAGACUGAAUCGAUCAAUUUGGAUUGUCAUCUAAUCGGGACGGUGAGGUCGGUCCCCUGCCGCUACAGCUCCGCCGUCAUCGCAAACUCUCUUGGUAAUUUUAGGGCUUACACCUGCGCUGCCUCCUCCUCCUCCUCCUUUCACAUAGCGCCAAACCAGUGGGUACUCAACAUGGCAGCUUUCUUUGCGACGAAGCUCUCGGCUGCUUUAUGAUUCGCCUCUCCAACAGCUUCUCCAAUGCCCAAUCAUCCGUACCCGCGAUUCCCAGGCACUUUUGAAAAUAAUUUUGUUACGACUGCCCGGACCUUUUUCCCCCCUUUUCUUGCUGUUAAAGUGACUAAUUAGGAAAAAACAACCUAUUCAUUUGAGGUUCGGGAAGGGCUCGUUGCUGUACUUGAUGUUGGAGGAUUCUCUGACCCCAAGCAUUAUAGACCGUUGCGACCGUCACCAGGAAGGUUUUAACGAGUUUUUGGUUAUGGACACUCCACUGAACUUAGCAGUGCCGGCCUCGUCUGCAAGGUAGCUUUUACUUGCCCACAAAUCUCUCGGUGCUCUGUAUUUUUUUUUUCCAUAGCCCUGGAUCCGGUGCCUGUUUUUUUAGUAGUAGCAGCAGUAGCGGGUUUAGUCUAGCCGCAGAGUUGUUGGCGCGUGAAAUUUACAGUUAUUCAGAUUACUUGUUAGAUAAACAAGUUUAUCAAUCUGCCGUUAUCCUUUUCUGUUCCUGAUUUUUUACUUCCAGCAUUGUGGGAAGGAGAUAGUUGCCAAGGAGGUUCAGCUAGAUGAGGGACAUCCAGAUGUACACCUGUUAUUUUUGACAGUUUAUAACUUCAUGGAGGUAACAAUCCAACUGUGUAUUGUAAGCCUUGUCCUGAAUGUUCAUGAACUUAGUACUGUUUUACCUGUCCAAUAAUAUUUUUCACUGAGCAAAUGAAACCUUUGAAUCCUAUCUUCUUUCUGGUUUUCCCUGUCCUUUUCCCAAGGAGUUGCUUCUUUAGUUUUAUUAUUGCUUUAGAUUAGACAAGGGAAGCUAGCUGAUAGACUGAAUGGCAGUAUAGAAGGUAUUGCUCUUGCUUCUACAUGGCCUGUGUACGUUCUGUCAUUAGUCAGAUGCUUAUCAACUUGCACCAAAUUUUUUGCUUUAAUUGGCUGUGGAUGCUACUGACAAUGGAGUAAAUCAAUGCAAUACAGGCCAGCCUCCUAGGUUUGUGAACAACACAAGCUUGUGCUCCAGAGUUGGAAGAUUGAAUCUGGAUUGGGACUCAUUUUGAUCAAUCACCCGAGCAUGAAAAUAAUUGCCUUUCAACAAGCAAUGGAGCUAGCGGGAAGGAUUUUUUGGAGGUGACUUCCCUUGAACUCUCACUAUUCUGAGUUGGGUUUGUCUUCCACUCGACAAUAUUUUUGAAGUUAGUACUAGGCUGAUUGGAAACUUUUGUUUUCCUAUCAUCCUGCACAACUUCAGACCUUCAACUCAUAGCUUAAGCUUGACAAGAUUGUUAAAGGAACAAUUUUUUUUUUAAAACUUUUCAUAUCAGAGUGCUCAUUUCUAUGCAAAAUCAUGGUUGCAAGUUCGAUCUAGUAGUUAUGGAAUGUCUAGCAGAAAGAGAGAGCUGUAGAUCCAACUGGGGAAGUCAUUGUGCAAAAUAGAUCUUUUCCUGUAAGUGGAAACUGGUUGUCUCAAUCAUGUCGUUGAUGACCUUAUUUAGCUUUUUGAUUCUGUCAUCCUUCACCUCUUUCAAUUGUUUGCCUAUUGUUCUGUGAUCAUACCUUUCCUUCUUUAACAAUCAAUAAACCCAUGACAACCCAUAAUGACACUUAUUAGCAUUUCAGCAGUGGAAGCUUCACAUUUUUGACCUGGAGAGGGAACUGAAGAUUGAUCCUUCAAUUAUGUAUGUUAUUUAUCAGGUACCAUCAUGUUCAUCACCCUACAUUAUUCUUUUGAAAAGCAUGUUAAUAGGUUUAUUCUCUUGCAGUCCACUCAUUGUCGAUGAUCUUUUAUAUCAGCAUGUGCAUAGAAGGAAAACAAGUUCAAUGUCGUCUAUUAAUGAGAGAUAUUCUCUCGAUAAAUAUUCUUGCAUUACUUGCUUUUCUUGCCUCAAAGAAGCAAUACGAAUAGCGACCUCAUCAAGGUCAAGUAAUUUAUGCUUGGCUAAGUGCAAUGUUUCAUUUUGUUAGGUCAAAAUGUGUGCAACAGAUAGCUGGUGAAUCAUCUUUUCUUGGAAAAGAAUAUCAUUAGUUGCAAAAAAUUUCACGGUUUUAUUGUUCUGUAGGAUGAUAGGAGUGAGAACUGGCAUAUUCAGGAAGUGGCAGUCUCACCUGAAAAUUUUGAAAGCCGGAAACCCCAACCAUCUCUCUGGUGGGGUCUCAAUGAUGGAGAGCUUUGCGAAGCUACUCAUAUCCCUGGUUGUACUUCUGUGCAUGAGUGGAUUCAUUGGAGGAAAUGAAACUUAUGAAUGUGUUCUUGCUAUGGCAAGGGCUUCUUUGAUGGCUUAAGCAACAAACAAGGUAAUGAAGAACUUUAUUUGAAUAAGAUGCAUGUGCAGUUCGAAUAUGCUGACUCAAGUACCAUUGUUUUAUCAUCCUCAAAUCCUUAAUUUCUUGAAACUCAUUUCUGUACAACUAUCAUCGCAGGUAAAGAAACACACAUUAUUAGAUACUAUUAUGUUAAGGUUAAAAUUGAGUCCCAUUGGGAACAAAAUUUGUGGCUCAACCUGAAUCUUCAGAAGCUGCAGGCAAUCCUUCUUUAAACCAGGUAUUUAGUCCUCCUUCCAAGUGGUAGACAUUGCUGUAACCAUUGAGAACUAGCAAGUAAGCUGCUAUGAGUGACCUACAUAAAGUAACAAAAGCAGGUAAUGAAUCUUCUCCCUUGUACAGUGUGCAGACAGUGUAAUGAACUUUUUAACACUUUGCAUUAUGUAGCACUGUCUUCACACACGUUAAUUUAUAUAUAUAUAUAUAUAUAUAUAUUUUUUUCCACUAGUUAUAUUUGGCACAUCACUAUGACUCCGGAUUUUUGAACAUAGAAAUGUAAUACCUUGAUUGUUGCCCUUCCGGAAGACUUUGUGAUGGCUUCAUUGUACCACCAGAUGAGCAAGCUACUAUUAUCUUCGCUUUCUUCUCUAUUUUCGAUUCCACACCUGCUCUCAAGUAUUAAAAAAUUAGUUAUCAAUUUACAUAGAGCUUUUUCCAUAAGCCUUAAGUUGAUUGAUUUAUGCUAAGAGCCAUACUUUGCAUAAAGUCUGGAUUUUCUUCUGUUCCUUGGAAGAUGCCGAAAAAUGCAAAUGCUGCCCUCCGGGCAAUGUCCCAUGGUGUCCACUCCUUUAUGAGCCUAUAAAUUGAACAUUAAUAGCUCCUGGCGGAUGAGCCUAUGCCAGGAAAUGAUCAUUUAGUAAAGCUUUUACAAAACAGGCAUGGACAUUUGAAAUUAUAGUUGGUUUGCCUAACCAUGGGCAAGGCAGAUGAUCUAUAUGCUACACUAGUGUGAGACAAGAUCUUGCAUAAUUUGGUCAGUGCAUCUUUUAGCAAAAAUGAUCCAUGUGUCUUAGGUCUGAAGUAUCCUGUCUUGAAAAGUGUUUUAAUACUUAAAAGUACUUAUCGAUCUAUUGGUACUUGCAUUUUGCGUGUCUUGGUGUGCACAUUAAAAAUUUGGGUUGCUGCUGAUGACUUCUUUCUGACUUCAAAUCAGGAGUCAUAAUUCUGUUUCUAUGGCAGAAGAAGGACAUUUACCUCUUUAAACUCUGCUUCUGGACGUACAUCAAGAAUCACAAAGUUAUUUUCUUUCUGAAGUCGCAAAGCUUCUUCACCUCGACACUCCUUACCUACAUAAUCUGGCAUGGUUAGGCCUUGUAUGAAGUAAUUUGUAAUUUUAUCACAAUUUGCCAUACAUAAGCUAAGUUUUCAUUUUGAAUCAAUUAAAAAAAAAUAUGAUUCGGAUCCAUAGAAACCUCACUUCUGCUUCACAUUGUGGUUAUUAUCUUCUGGAUGACCAAAAGGUUUCUACGGUUAAAUAGAUGGACAUGGCAUUGGAAGUAACUAUUAAACAGCCACUGCUGUGUUAAAAAAGUUUUGAUGAAUGUUAAAACUUGUGUGAUAUCUGAAGCUUCCAAAACUCCGUAUGCACUUGCGAAAAAAUGUUCUAAAAUUUAUGAUGGAGACAACCUGUAAACUGAGAGACUAUGCACCCUAUAUGAAGUAAUUGCAUUCUUUAGCCGUGUCCACAAUGUGCUUGCCUGCUUGUGUCAGUAUGGUUUGUCGUAUAGUGAAUCAGAUAUUACCUUCUUCUCAAGCAGAUACUUCCUCUUAAUCGACCAGUCCUCUUCAGCUGAUCCCUCCAAAAGGAAAGAAAUCACUGAGAUUAUGCUUAAAUGUUGCGAUUUUGUGAUUAUAUAUGAUGGGUGCAUUUCUGAGGUCUUCUAUAGUUUGCAAUUACAAAAUGAUACGAGUCAUAGGAGCAAUAAUAGCAGGUACCUGGUGAUUUGGCGGGUUUGGUUGCGGCGCUUCGAACAGUGAAUCUAGCAGCUGUUGAGCCUGAGUUUGUCCUGCUUGAGUUUUGAAUAAUGGCUUUAGGGGUCAAGCAACAGGAACUGGGUUCAUUAGCAGAGUUCGGGCAGUAAUUGUAGUUAAAAGCUGGGAUCCUGGAAUGAAAAUUGCGAUGUAAAGAGCAAGUUGAAUGUGGAUUGACUGAAGUGGUGAGGGAAGCCAUAUGUCUAAAAGAAGAAUUGCGCUUUGUAUCAGGCGUGAAUCAAGAUUCAAAUCAAAUUCAAAGAGAAAUGCGAGCUAAGCUUUCUCUCUCUUCCUGGGGUUCUUCCUCUGCGUUUGAUUUCCUUUCUCUGAGAAAUGUGCUUUUGUGUUGUGGAAGUUAGUGGGCCAGGGAUCUUGUGGAUAUUUCGGAGUGUCAAAAUCUGGAGUCGUGGCUGUGGUGCGCUGGUUCUCUGCCAUUAUGGACUUCUUUCGUCUCCCCUUAUCCUAUCAGCUUUAUUACGUACGGUUUCCUAACUCUCUUUCUCCACAUAUUUUUCUUAUGGUUUUAUUUUCCUUAAUUAUGUGGUGGUUAGCUUAACCCGCUCCACCGCCUCAACCAAAAAGCAUAUACCUAUUGGCUUAAUUAUGUGGUUAUGAAACUCAAAAGUCCCACAAACCAAAACUUAACUCUGGUAGAACUCUUGAGUCUUGCUCAUUCCCCUUCCCACCCAGGGUUUCCCUUGAAAAAAAAAAAAAAAAAAAUUAUUGUUGGUCUCAUCCUCUUCCUGCCAUGGUAUAUUAGUGAAAAGGCAACAUGUAUAACUUGAUUUUCUAUUAUGUUUCGUUGAGGGCUCCAAGUAAGAAAAGUCCUUUGUGAAAUUAUAUUGACUUCCCCAUUGAAGUUAAUGGGCAGUGCACAUCGUAUAAUUAAUUACUCAUAUGUUGUAUUACAAUGUGGUCCCCUUGUUAUUUUUGAUCUAAAAAUAUUUGUAUAAUAUUUUUGUGGUGUUUCUCGUGUUGUUAAACCUUUCAAAACCAAUACAAAUGGGUUAUUCAUAAGAUGCGCCUGCUUUCUCACUAAUGAGAGAUAAGGCAUCAAAAUAAAGAUCUUUAUAGGCUAAUAUACAUUAAAAGGAACAAGUCAAAUUCCCAAAAAUAAUAAUAAUAGCAAAUGCUCGUAUUACCAAUACAAAUAGUGAACUAGAUGGCAUUGGCACCAUUCUUUAAGUCUAAGGAUUUAUGGCGAGCACUGAGAAAUUUUUUUUUUUUUUUAAUGGGGUCCAUCUUCCCAUCUUCAAGUACUCAAAUAUUAGCAUUACAUGCCUCGAUAAUCCAAUCUUCUAGGAUGCAUGCAUAUUUCGGUAGUCAAUACUUCCUCAGUCCCAUUUUAUAUGUUAUGGUCAACCUUGUAAAUAGUUUUAAAAAAAAAUAAAGUUUAACUGAGACAAGUAAGCUACUAAAAAAAAUGUCUUUUCAUUAUUGCCCUUCAAUUAAACUCUAAAAUUUUUGUAAGUUGAGGUUAAAAUUUUAAAAAUGGCACAGCUACCUAAAACAAAGAUUGUAGUAGUUUAUAGCAUGAUUUAUUCAGAGAAUCAUGCUUUACCUUGAGAGUUGUAUCAAGGAUAUAAUGGAAAAGUUGAAUUUCAUUUAUUUCUAUUUUAACUCAUGACAAGUAUUUAGGGACAAAUCAAAAUACAAACCAUGACAUAAAGAGUAAGAGUAUUUUGGGAGUAUUACAAUGACUAGGACUUUGCCAUGUUAAUUAUGAAAGAGAUACUCUCUGUAAAGAGAUAAAUCUAGUGUCGUGGGCUUAUGCUUGGACAACGUAAUUUAUUUUCUUCUCCACGUGCUUGCGGCUGUUAGAAGAAGAGGUUGCUUUCGCUUAUUUAGGUGGAUUUAGAUUCUGAAGUCCUCAACGAACGUUCUGAUUUUAUUCUUUUCCCACAAAAAUGGAAAAAAAAAAAUUUUAAUCUUCAAUAUGGGCUCCUGUGCCAUCAUCAGAUGUAAUUGAUCAGGCACCGCAUACUUCAGCCUGGUUUUGUUCUGCAGGGGCAACUUUUUUUUUUUUUUUUUUCUGCAGAAAUAACUUAAUAAUCCUGUUUUUUUUUUUGUUUGUCUCAAAUUAUAGUCUACUUUCUAAUUAAAGAACGUACUGCCUCUUUGGAACCUCAGGUUUUUUGCAAGUUUGUAUGAUACUAGUUUUUUAACAACUUUUGCUACAAGAAUCCCAAAAAUUUAUCAAAAUUUUUAACCUACACACUUCAUCUAAUACACAAAAAAUUUCCUUUCAACUUCUUUUUCCUCCCUCACCCAACUCACCAUGUUCUCCGUCGCCAGCCACCACAUCCACCACCGCUUCCCGCACCGAUCACCUAUUCCGGCACUGCCUUCCUCUUUUUUUUCUCUCUCCCUCUCCUCUCCUCCCCUCCCCUCUUCCCCUCUCCUUUUUCCUCCCGCUUGCGACCAGAUCGCAAAAGUGGAGGGGGAGGGGGGCUGUGAUCUGGUCGCGGAGAGGGAGGAUGGGGGGGAGGGAAGGGAGGAGAGGGGAAGAGAAAGGCAAAAAAAAAAAAAUUUCCAUGGCUUCCAUUACUCAGGCGUCGGAAUGCGAGAGGGAGAGGAGAGCCCUCUCCUUUUUCCUCCCGCUUGCGACCAGAUCGCAAAAGUGGAGGGGGAGGGGGGCUGUGAUCUGGUCGCGGAGAGGGAGGAGAGGGGAAGAGAAAGGCAAAAAAAAAAAAAAAAAUUUCCAUGGCUUCCAUUACUCAGGCGUCGGAAUGCGAGAGGGAGAGGAGAGGAGAGGAGAGGGAGAGGGAGAAGAGGGGAAGAGAAAGGAAAAAAAAUUUUCCAUGGCUACUGGGCGACCAGAUCGUAACUACGGGGAGGGGGGAGGGCGGGAAAGGGGGAGGAGAGUGGGGAGAGAAAAAACAAAAGAAAAAAUCCAUGGCUGCAAGUUCUCAUGGCUGCUGAGGGCGACGGGGAUGGGGGGAGAGGGAGAGGGAGAAGAGCGGGAGAGAAAAAGAAAAAGAAAAAUUUUCCCAUGGCUGCUAGUUUUUGCCAGUCAGAGGCAGAGGUGCUGGGGGAGGGGGAAGUGAGAAGAAGAAGAGAAGAAAGAAAAGAAAAAAGAAAGAAAGAAAGUUUUUAUCCUAAAAAUUUUUCUUACAACUUCUACAAUAAUCUACAGUAAAGUUUUAGACAAAUACUCAAAAAAACUCACCUUCCAAAUGGGACCGUAGUUAUCUUUUAAUUUAUCUAAAAUACCCUUAUUCAAUGUAGAUUGUUAUUGGUAUAAAUUACCUUAUUUAAUAUGGAUUGUUAAGCUAUCCCAUUUAAUACAUUUAGAUUUUCCAAAACAUAUUGAUGUAUGAAAAGCUAACUUUGCUAUUCUUUCAAGUCCAAAUGUGAAAUAAUGUAAAAUGAGGAUUGAUUCUUUCUUGGUCAUCAAUUCAAGUUCUUAUAAACCAUCAAUUCAAGUUUUCAUGAAUAAUUAAUAUAAAAUUAUACUUUACUUAAUGUAAGGGUAUUUUAGAAAAAUAGCAACCUAAAUUUAUUGUUCCAACAAAAUUAAUCACUUUUUCUUAAAUUGUGUAAAAAAAACCUGGGAUUAUCGAAAUGGGAGGGAGGAAGUGCAUUUGAAGAUUCUGCUUCCUUUUUUUUCCUCUUUAUUUUUGUAAAGGAAAAUACUACAUAUUUUCUUGUCUGAUUCAUAUAUUUCGGUCUGAGUCCAAAAUAAUAGAGGAAAAUGAAUAAAACGGCCGGUGUUGGAUGAUUAUGUGGACGUAAUUAUGUACCAAACAUUUUCAGUAAUAGGAUGUUAUGAAUGCUUGCAAAACAUGUGACUUGUGCAACUUACAAAAAAAAAAAAAAA